AGGAUCAUAAAUCGAGCCGAGGGAUUCAGUUUUCAGGCGGUGAGCUCCUCUUCCUUGUGGGUCUCGAUGACGAGGUCCGACUGCGGGUAGGCGGCGCAGGUGAGCACCCACCCGGCGGCGACCUGGUCGUCGUCCAGGAAGCUCUGGUCCGACUGGUCCACCUCGCCGGAGACCACCUUGCCGGCGCACGACGAGCAGGAACCAGCCCGGCACGAGUAGGGCAGGUCGAUGCCUUCUUCCUCGGCGUGGUCCAGGAUGUACACGUCGUCGGGGACCUCCAGAUCCACCUCCCCCUCCGGCGUCACCAGCUUCACCUUGUACGUCGCCUGCGCACGAAGCCUCAUGCCCCUCGCCGACGGCGCCGUCAGCGGGAGCACCACACGGGACGAGACGGCCGAGGAAGGUGGAGGGGCGGCUGUGAAGAGGGAGAGGCUGCUCAGCGCGGUGGUCGCCAUUAUUGCAGCUGUGUAAGCUUUCUUGCGAGGAGGAGGAUGGUGUUGGAGAGUGUAUGCAGUAAGCUCUAGCUGGACUGGAGGGGAUGAUGAAGAAGAAGAAGCAGAGGAUGUCCUAGAGGGUGCCACGUGGCCCCUGCAGGUGCUCAGGCUUAUCCUUAAGCUCGGAGCGACCACGGCCACACGAUGAAGGGAUGGACGUCGAUCCACGAGGGCGUGUGGAGGCCAUGCGAUGUAUCCAAUGCGAUUUUGAUCGAUGCACGGCGGCCGUCACAUUUUGGUUUGAGUCAAGCUAGAGAACCUGAUAUGCUGUAAAUUCUUCUAUCUAUAAAUAUUUCGCGACUGGUUUUAGCGAUAGCGAUCAGUCGAUCGAGUGAGUCUAAAUUUCAGUCAGAAAAGAAAAAAAAUCACAAUGAUUUUAGCGAUCAGUCCGUCAUGUGUGACCGGACGAGAAGCCAAGAAGUACACCAGGUUUCACAUUCACAUCAAAAACAGACAAAAAAACUCGAGAUGGAAGCGAUCGUGCCGAGAGUGUGAGCAAAGAUCGCCUUAGUAGACAGUCAGCGGUCUCUCCUCCUCUUGGUCACGCAAAUGGACUUUAAAUUGAGCAGGUCAUGGAAUCCUUCGCUCGGGAACAAUGAACAUGAAAUGCCUUAAAAUUACAAUGCUCCGACCUUCAGUGCAGCUCACCUUUCGUGAGAAGUAAGGCUCCACCAAUCACCGCUGGCGAUGGCACUAGGCAUAUCAUGUCAAGAACAUGUCGAUGAGGCCGGGGAGAAAUGGCAGGACGGACGUCAUGGAGGAGCAGUGGGUGGCGCUAACCCUAGCAACACAAGCUAGGGACAAGGGCAUGUGUAGGCCAUGCGAUGUAUCCUGCGGGGGAGCGAUGGAUGGCCGGCCGGCCAAUGGGGAUGCAUGGUGGCCACCGCAUUUUGGAUCAGUUGAGUGAAGCCACAGAUCUCAUACACUGUUCUGUAAAAAUCUUCUAACCAGAAAUAUUGUUUCGACCGGUGUUAGCGAGAGCGAUCAGUCGACCGAGUGAGUCUAAUUUCAUACAGAGAAUUAUGCAGUUGUUUUUAGCGAGCAAUCAGUCCAUCGUGGCGAUUGGAUGAGAAACAAAGGAGUACAUUGGGCACAAGGUUUGACGUCUAGAUCAGAAACAAUAAAAAAACAUUGAGGUGGAAGCGAUUGGUCUCUCCUCCUCUUAGUUGCACAAGGACUUUAAAUUGAGCAAGCCUUUCAAUGAACAUGAAAUGCCUCGGAAUCACGAUGCUCCUACCUUAAGCGAGAAGCAGCACCAAUCAUUGCUGGCACUGGGUAGAUUGUGUCCAGAACAUGUCCACAAGGCCUAGGAGAAAUGGCAGGCUGGGCAUAAUGGAGGAGUAGUGGCCGGCGCUAACCCUAGCAGCACGUGCAAGGGGAAAGGGUCCGCGGCGGGGAUGCAUGUGGCGUAAGUCGACGGGUCGAGAGAUAUGCGAAGAAAACCUUAAGGAGCACUGAUCAAUCUAGGGAAACCAUGCGGGAUGCCAAUCGAUUCAUAAAAAAAAACGUGUGGUGGGUGCCGAUAGAACUAGGGUAAACCGUGCGGGAGGGUUGCCAAUCAAUCUAGGAAAAAUUGUAGCGGGAAGCAUGCGAGGGGUUCGGAACGAUGUAGAAAAAGCCAUGUUUUUUUUCUGAAAAAAGAAGAGGGGAUAAGCUCAUUGUACCAAGAGAAAAUUGAACUCGCAUCACUAACUCGCAUCACUACUUCGUAGCUAGUAAAAAUACCAUCAUUGCAGAGACACAUCACACACCUGCUGGCUCAACCAUCAAAUCCAUUAAUUUCAGUACGUACAUAAAUACUAGCAGCAGCAGCAGUAAUUUGACCGUAUGGAUCGAUCUCAGGCAGGGGUAGUACAAAAAAGAGGAACACAUAAUAUUACUUGAGCAUUUCAUUCAAGCUCGCUCGCACAGCAGCAACCAAAUCGAUGCACGAUAAGAUCCAUGGAGCUUAGAGAGAUUAUGAUAUCAUCAGACACUCUUGCAAAAGCUGAAGACUAAAAACUUAGGCGGUGAGCUCUUCUUCCUUGUGCGUCUCGAUGACGAGGUCGGACUUGGGGUAUGCGUGGCAGGUGAGCACCCACCCGGCCUCCAUCUGGUCGUCGUCGAGGAAGCUCUGGUCCGACUGGUCCACCUCGCCGGAGAUCACCUUGCCGGCGCACGACGAGCACGACCCGGCCCUGCACGAGUAGGGCAGGUCGAUCCCUUCUUCCUCGAAGUGGUCAAGGAUGUACACGUCGUCGGGGACCUCCAUCUCCACCUCCCCCUCCGGCGUCACCAGCUUCACCUUGUACGUCGCCUGAGCACGGAGCCGGAUGGCCCUCGCCGACGGCGUCAGGGGAAGCGCCACGCGGGAUGGGGCGACGAUUGGGGACGGCGCGGGGGCGGCGGAUGUGAAGAGGGAGAAGGGCGCGCGGAGGCUGCUCAGGGCGGUCGCCAUUGCUGCUGAGAGCUGAGAGCUUGCUUGCUUGCUUGUGUGGUGUGAGGAAGAAGAAGGAGGAUGAGCUAGGGGAUGGAUGAAGAGGGGGGAUAAGUAAGUAAAGGGGGGGGCUGUGUGCCACGUGGCGGGACGUGGGUGGGGGGCUUAUCUUGGAGCGAGGAGCGUCACACGAUGCUCAUCCUCGUCGGCGCCGGGGGGCGUGUGGCUGCCCGGCGACAUCCCGUGAUCUCUCUCGCUUUCUCUUUUUUUUUUGACAAAGAAGGCAGCCUAGUUUCUGCUGGGCCUUUUCCGGCCCAAUUACUAACUAACUACUUCGGUUGCUCGGCUUUCCUUCCAGGCCCGCUAAGCGAAGCCGACGGCAGAUGCAGCCGUGGGCUGGCCGGGGAAUAUGCCGAGUUUUGGGCGGGUUAUUUUUUUUUCCUUUGAUGCGAAUAUGCCUUUUUUUUUUCUUGCAACAAGUCUGAACUUUUAUUUCUACGGACAAGUCUUGUAACUAGUACACGCGGAGAGACUUUUUUGAGUUUUGACGCGAGUUUCUGUUUGACUGACUUGUUCUCUGCGUCCAUUCGAUUUAAUUUAUCGAGACUUUUUCUGUGACAGCUAAAUAUCGAGACUUUGUUGCGGGGUUCUUUUUCGUACCAUUGCUUUCCACGCAUUUAUUAAUUUAUGUGAAUGGAGAAAACGUCUUAAAUCUAUAAUAUCUAUAAAGUUGAUCUUCACUAUUUUUGUUUGCAAGCUUGACAUAUAAGAUGUCUACAUCAUACGCAUGCAUAGUCUCCACAUCACCAUCCACAUCAUGUGUUGUAAAUCACUAGGAAUCCAUUUUGGUGGUCUUUUUGAAUGUCAUAUUUUGAUACUUAGGAUUGUCAACUUAACGUUCUAUAUAAAUAUUUCGCCAAAUACACAUAUUUUCAUGACAUUAUCAAUCUUUUUAAGAUCUGCAAACACACAUAUUUUGAUGUUCAUGUACAUCAAAAUUAUUCCUAUUGUUUUGCUCCAUAGGUGUUAUGAAUGAUAAAAUCAUUUUGUCCUACAAUAUUUAUAUUUCUUUUGCAUUUAACCAUAUUAUUAUCAUGUGUUCCUAACGUCAUAUCCAGAUGUGCAUCUAGAACUUUCCGCGGCAACGCGCGGGGAUCACCUAGUUAUUACUGUUUGCAAUCCAUAUAUAAAGCGAAGAUAUAUAAAGCAAAAAAAAAACAUCACCUAGUUAUUACUGUUUGCGGGGAUCCACACCGUAAUAAUAACCUAAACGAACAUAUAUAACAAUCCAUGUGGGCAGAAAAAAACAUACAUGAGACAUAUAUAAAGCGACGUCAUCAGCUAUCUACUCCAAUUAUCCAACUGUUAAUCUGCUACCUAGAUCGCUUACAUAUGCAGGCCGUUGCAUGUGCCGUGCUAUAUCACGAAGAUCCAAGACAUAAUACGUGAUCUAGACAGACAUGUAGCUGCUCUCUGUCCUUUCUUACUGAUCAAGGAACAUUUAUAAAAUUAAAAUGUUCUCAUCAGUUCCUGCUGAUUGUCUUGAGACAUUAGCAACCGGUUAAUGAUAAAGAAUGGAAAUCAACGGGGGUCGUCAUCAGAUGCAGAAUCUCUUGUAUGCUUAGCUUGUGGAUUACUACUGUAAUAAAUGCGCGUGGCGUAAAGUUUGCACCAAAUCACACAGCGACAAACGGUCAGACAUUGCGUACAUGCAUCCAUGUAUCCCUUCAUUUGACCACAUAAAGCAGUAUUACCUCCGUCCAAUAAUAACGGGGUGUAUUAGCUUUCCUUUGAUCUAUGGUUUGACCACAAAUUAUUCUAAUAAUAUAUAAUUAUAAGGCGUAAGUUGAUAUCCAUUAUAUUUCUAUUCAACGAUAUUUGAUUAUGGUUAUGACUUUGAUCACAUUAGUCACAUAUUAAUAGAGUAAUUUGUGAUCAAAGGCGAAGUACUACAACAGCUAAUACACACUUAUGUUUAAUUAAUUAAAACAGACUUGAUGCUUCCCCUCUACACUUUUCCCCCUGAUUAGUUCCAGCUGCUCCUUCCGAGUAAUUCAAAUACAUCUGCUGUAGUUACCGUUCCUCGCUAUUUGGAUUGAUCGAUUGACUGAUUGAUUAAGGUGUGUGCACGUAAGAAGGUCAAUUAAUUGAUUAACUGACUAAGAUCCGUGUGUUUUGGUCUAGCCAUGCAUGAUUUUCACUUUGCUUGCAAGCAAGCAGAUAGCUAGCUAGGCAGUAUUUCGUGCCUCCCAUGCCAUGCAUCUUGGUUUUCCCAGGCCAAAAAACUGUCUGUCUGUCCGUCUGUCAGGCAGCAAGGGGAAUGGUCGAAUAUUGAACCGGUCAUGCACGGGGUAACUGACGACGCUAGAACACGCAGUAUAUCGUACCACGCACGUCUGCUUCUUCUAUUUUGACAAAAAAUAGCAAAGAUAUUUCUUGUUUUUCCCCUCUUCUCAUUCAUGUUUUCUUGGCAUGCUCUUUCUUUUGGUAUGUGGCAAUAAUGAGCUUAUCCGAGUUAGGAUAAGGUUAGCACAGCCACAAUAUUAAUCAAUACUAUUAGUAUAUCGUCUGGUAGUAAUGUGUUGUUAAGUCAUGAUGGUGGAGAACAACAACACACGCUUUGUUAGUUAGAAUGGCCAGCCAGCUAGCUCAGUUGAAUGCCCUUCAAUCUAUGAUUGAUUUGCGUAUGCAUAUUUCUGUUGAAGCCGUCAUAUAUAUGGCGUGGCAGCUGCAUAUGCAAGAGCUAGUGUCCAACAAACAAGAACCAACCAGACCCAAAGCGUGUCGGCGCCGAUAGCCCGUUCUGCCGUUCCCUUGCGUGGCACGACACGGUAACCAAUCAAAAUCCAUAUCAUUUUUUCCUUUCUCAUAAAAAAUGUCUAGUACAGUCGCAAAAAAAAUAAAUGUUUAGUGCUAUAUACUCCUACUCCUUCCUAAAUAUCAUAAGUUUUUCCUACUAAGUUAUAGUUUUGUCUGUCUUAAAUCAAACUUCUUCAAGUUAUAUAUCUUCAUAGUAUGUCCAUUUAAUAUUGUUGAUCUCAGUAGAUUUUAUUUAACUUAGAACGACACGGACACAAUUUCUUAUACUCGUAGUACUAGUACUAUUUGGGAACGAAGCUGGUACUUAGAGUAUUUUUUUUUCGUGAUUCAAGUAUUUUUAUUGAGUGCCUUAAUGAACUCCAUUUUUCAUUUUCGACUCCGAUGUGGCAUGGGCUUUGCCGCAAGAAAAAAAAACAUCGAAAAAAUGGAAAAAAAGAAAGGAAAAGGAAACGGUAAAGUGUGAAAAGGUUUUAAAAAUGCCAGCGUGGGGUCCACCCAGUUUGAGGUUGACGACGACAAGUAGUUGCAGCAGCAGAGGAGUAUUUCUUUCUCCCUUCCGUGCGCCCAAAUUUCUCCUCUCCCCCCUUCCUUCCUGCUCUCUCUUCUUCGCCAUUCGGGACCUCUUUCUUCUCCAAUCUCGCUACUAACUCCUCUCCGAUCAACCGGUCCAGAGACGGAGGCGCAGCAGACGCACCGAGGUAACACGGAGAUCCAUCCCGCCCAACCAUCUUCUCCUGCCCCCCCUCUCAUGAUUUCUGGUGUUUCUGUUGGUUGUUCUUGUUAUGGGAUUGGAUUCGGUUGGAGCUUGGAAGAACACGCGCGCCGUACAUGCAUUCGGCAACGACAGCGGGGGUUUAUUUCCGAUUUCAAGACCCAAGAACGGAUUUUUGGGACGGAUUUGGGGAUUGGGAUGUUUCUGUCUUCCGUGCCGUCGACUCCCGCCCACCUCUGUUGACUUGGACCUCCGGCCCUUUAAUUUUUUUAUUUUAGGAUUUUUGUUCGGGGGAUUUGUUCUUGUAGUAGUACUAGCUCUUUAUUUUUUUUGGAUCAUUGGGAUUUGGAAGGGACAGCCUGGCCUUCGGGUUGAUCGCCAACGCCCCCGCCUUCGAUUUCACCAACCUUCUUCUUCUUGUUGGUGCGAUUCAAGUUUCAGGCUCCCGAUUUGCUCAGCGUUUCUGACCAUCUGCGCCUCGAUUUGCUAGGUCAAUGCUUGCUCGAUUCCAACCUUCGUGAGCAGUAGUGAUCAAUGGAUGCAUCCCAUUUUCUUUCUCUUUCAAAUUUGUUGACUUGGGAUUUUACUCUAUCUUUUGUUCUCCUGUCGGUUGGUUGGUUUGCUUGUAUUGACCCAGUAAUGGAUGGAUACUAAUGGCGUGCUGCUUGGCUGAACUGGUCAGGCGAAGGCGACCGCCAACCACCCCGGAGGAGAUCUGAGACCCGACCGACCGCCGCCUGCUGGAGGGGGAAGCUGGUGGAGCAGCAGGAAGGGCCGUAUGCUUGUCGCAGGCCAUGUGCCCGGACAUGAAUCCGCGCCAUACAGCAAGGUAGUCUAGUGUUUGAUUCCAGGAAUAUCGCCAUACUGUGUUAUGAAUUUUGUGUCCCAAUUCAUAGUCAUAGGUUCCAUGGGAUGCUCAGGAAGGGCUCUGUAUCAAUGAAAUUUCCUGUAUCAAUAAGCCAAUUGUAGUCUCGGACACCUGGUAUAUGCAGAACCAGAAACUUGCUUAGCCUUUAAUUCAUUAGUGUCGUCUGUUAAACAAUGGAAUGGAAGUUCCUUUAGUUUUCUGGUUUCUGGUCUUGCACGCCUGAAACGUCGGUCAACUCUUCGACACUAACCUGAUGCUGUGUUUGGGUAAACCUGAAUGAAGAUAUUUUGUUUAUUUCUCCGGUCACCUAACCCUGUGGAUAUUUGAUUUUGGACAACCUGGUUUGGUAGAGAAGUGCCCUUGAGGCAAGGGAACUUCCUCAUCAGAUAUUUGUGUCUUUGACUGUGUCUGUGUUUUCUAAAUCCCAUUCUGACCCGGUCUUCUUUUCGUACUGGCAGUCAAGUUGAAUCAGAGGUUCUAGACGGUAAUCGUAACCAUCACAGCCAGCUUGAUGCUGAUCAUCUUGUACAAAUUGGGAGGAGUCCUAUCAAGCGUGGUAGCAACAAUCUGUCCACAGACGACAAUUUCUCCUCGAGUGCCUCUUUGCAUAAACAUGAACAUGUGAGCUCCGAUCCAUCGGCCCCUAAGGCCGAUGACCGCUCAAUUAAGUCUGGUGAUGAUUCUGAUGGGGCUGAGAGUACCAAUGGCAAAAGCAACAAUACGGACUCCCCAGGUACUGAAAAUGAUAGCAUCUGGAUACCACCUGAAGCUGCAGACAAGGGAGAUGAGACCGAGAGUAACAUUGCUUAUGAUGACGACGAUGACGAUUAUGGUGAUGGAAUCAAGUGGGGCCAGUCAAGUUUCCCAGCCGCUGGUGAGGAACACGAGGCCAGCCCCAAUCCUAAGGAUGAGCGAGAAAAUGCAAUGUUGGAAGCUAUGAAUGGACAACUCAAGAUACUCGUGAGUCGGUUUUUGGCCUCUGCUGGUAUCCCCUUUGGAAAAGGAGAGAGUAGUGAGAGUUGGCUCGAUAUUGUGACCUCCCUGUCGUGGGAAGCUGCACUACUUAUCAAACCUGAUUCUACCAUCGGAAAGGAAAUGGACCCUGGCUCUUAUAUCAAGGUCAAAUGUGUAGCAUCUGGUACUCGCUGGCAAAGGUGACACAUUUGUUCACUUAAAGGUUUUUUAAAAUAUAAUGUAUUCUAUCUGCGUGUUUGGUUAUACACGUUCACUUCAUAACCUUGACUGCAGUGAGGUGAUCAAGGGAUUAGUCUUCAAGAAGAACACUGCUCAUAAGCACAUGCCGACCAGUUGUCACAAUCCUAGGCUGCUACUACUGGAAGGAGUCCUGGGGCACUCUGAUGUUGGUUUAUCAUCGUUUAAUUCAAUGAAUCAGGUUGGUCCUUUCAUAUACAUAUGCACAUUGAAUUGUUUAUAGUAAACGCCGUUUAUUUUUGUUGGAUAGAAGAUUAAGACAUCUGUUCCGUGCCUUUAACAAUUAGGAAAAGGACCAUCUGGAGAGGACUAUAAGUAAGGUGAUUGAUAUAUGCAGUCCCAAUGUUAUCAUGGUUGAGAAAACUGUUUCACGAGACAUACAAGAACUUCUAUUAAGACAAGGGUGUACACUAAUUCUUGAUAUGAAGCUCAGCCGGUUGCAAAGAAUUGCACGCUGUACGGGUUCUCCUAUAAUAUCAUUUCCAGAAGUUCUGGAUAAACCGAAGCUGAAGCAGUGUGACUACUUCCAUAUUGAAAAAUUCAUUGAAGAACACAACGAUGCCAGUGAAGGUGGGAAAAGACUGUCUAAAACAUUAAUGUUCUUGGAAGGAUUUCCCAGGCCAUUGGGUUGCACGGUAUGUCUACCUAACUAGUAUUACAUGUAUGAUGCAUUUUAUACAUUUUCAGUUCCAUUCUUAUUUUUUCCCUAAGAUUGUUUAUUUUCCUCCAAAAGCAAAAUAAAUAAACUAUGCCACGGAGUAUUUUUCCUAUGUCUUUUCUUCCCUGAAAUCUCCCCAACCAAAGCAUCCCUUUGUAUGGAAGUGAAAUCCAUAACCAGAAGUUGUUCCAGCUUACUGUGGACAUGUCUAUUACUUCGACCAGUUAUUACUUCUUAAUAGCUGGCUUGUAGACUGUAAUUAAACAUCUUCUCUAUUCGAGUGGUGUGUGGCCAUAAAAUUUUACGGUUUGACUAAUAAGGCAGAGAACCAAGGUGAUUACAACUUGGCAGGAGCUAGAUACACUUAUGGUGCUUUAAAGUAACAAACCUGGUUUUGUUUGUGGUGAGAUCCAUAGUAGUGGUAUGUGCUUUUAUCAAUUAUUACGAUGAGUGAAUACCAAUUGAUAGUGAUAUAUUCCUGCAUAUUAGUUACAUUCCACUGAACAAAUAGUAAGUGACAGACCAAAUUGUGUUUCAUGGAUUGUUAAAUUAUCUGAGUGACAAUGGUUCCUUUCUCAUCCAGAUACUGCUCCGUGGAGCAAAUACUGAAGAAUUGAAGAAAGUCAAGCAAGUCAUGCACUACACAGUCUUUGCAGCAUACCACUUGAUCCUCGAAACGUCUUUCUUUGAAGAUCAGCGGGUAUUCUUAAAUGAUAAAAAUGUUUCCAAAGAAAAUUAUGUCACCGCUAUGGUAGGGCCUUCAGCAAUUGGUGAUGAUACGGCUGUUCUGGGUUGUGCCAUCCCUCCUUCACAUGAUGAUUCUCCAGCACUUAAAUUAUACCAUGCCACUUCUAAUAUCUAUGCGGAUGGGAAGAAAUCUCUCAGUUAUACAAAUGUAGAUGCUCCAGUUUCAAUAACAAACAGCUCUUUGGAUGAACUUGGAGAAGGUGCAAAUGUCCGGCAUAGCUCAACAUCACCCCUUCACACUGGAAGGCUACCACCACCAGUAUCAGGACCAUUAAGAAAAUUUGCUGACAAGUUACAUCGUCAUAAUAUUUAUUUACCUGUCACAUCAUUCCAAGAAACAACUGAUAAUAAAAUAGAAGGCAGGGUUGAAUCUAGGAAAGAGAUGGUUAGUAAUGGAUUUCAUGUUGGGUCAAAGGUGGAAGAGUCUGCAGCUUCCAGUGAAAUUUUGGAUGACACGAAAGAUCUCUUAAAACAAGAAAGGAUCCAAGAAGUAAUGCCAUCAGGUUCUUCUGGGCAUGGCAAACAUGAGGAAUCAUCCGCUAUGGCUGAAGAUGGGGAACAUCACAGCACCAGUAUCAUCAGCAAUGGGAACAUUUCUAACGAAGAUCAAGCCGAUGAUGCACUUGAUUCUGACAGUAUACUGAUUUUGAUGUCUAGCCAAUGCAUCACAAAGCAGAUUAUAUGUCUCCCGAGCCAACUGUGCCGUAUAAAAUACUACGGGAACUUUGAUUUGUCCUUGGGGCGAUAUUUGCAAGACAUUUUGCAGAAUCAGGUAACAACAGUUUACCACUUCUUCGUUUGUUCACACAUUGUUCUUAUUUACACUGAAUAUUAUAUUUUUGUGCUAGUAAUGUACAUUUUAUUUCGGCUCCAUUGAUACUCUUUUUUGCGAUGUUAUUUGGCUCACUAAUAUUUAUUCGUACUAGAAAGCAAGCUGCUCAUCUUGUCAAGAGCCUCCAGAGGCUCACAUAUAUUCUUACACUCAUCAAAAUGGGAAUUUGACUGUUCAAUCAAAGAAUUUGGUGUCCCAACAUCGCUUACCUGGCGAAUCCGAAGGAAAAAUAUGGAUGUGGACUAGAUGCUUGAGAUGUGAACAUGAACAUGGGACAUCUAAAUCGACUCCUAGAGUGUUAAUAUCAUCUGAAGCGCGCAAUCUCUCUUUUGGGAAAUUCCUGGAACUCAGUUUUUCAAGUCACUCCGCAGCGAGAAGGCUAUCCAUAUGUGGGCAUUUGGUGAACAGGGACUGCUUGCGUUUUUUUGGGUACGCUCGAUGUACUUUUCACAUCAAACAAAAUUAUUUUUUGGCUGCCUUUAGAUGUAACUAUUUCUUUAAUGAUAAUUUCUUUUUCUUACUGACUUCAGGUUGGGCUCCAAAGUUGCAAUGUUCCGCUACUCCUCAGUAGAAAUUUACACUACCUGCAAACCACCACCCACCCUCCACUUCGACAACCCUAGCAGACAGAAUUGGUUUGAAAAAGAGAGGAUACAUGUAUGUCUUAAUACUCUCUACCAUUACCAUCUCAUAGUUGUCUCCAGUACAUGCAUAGUAAUACUUUUUUUUUUGCACUUUCAAAGAUUCUUGCUAGAGGUAUGAAACUUUUUUCUGAGGUAGCAACCUUGCUACAACUCUUGAAGAAUCAGCAUCAUGAUGUGACAGCAACCAGUUGUGGCACAUUUGACCCUGUUAAGGACUUCUCUGAACUCGAAGAGUUGUUGAUGAAAGAAAAGGCCGAUUUUGAGGUAGGCAUCCUUGUCUUAAUUUCUUUUAGACUGGAACUUUGUAUGCCAAUGAAUUUGUUAUGUUUAAUUUAUAUUUAUGGGUUACUAUCUUUAUUUUUAUGCAGGAUUCAUUAGUAAAGACAAUCAACCAAAAUGGGAGAUCAUCCUCAUCUGUGCAUGAGCUUCUUAAUAUAAAUUGGUCUUACCAGGAUGUUCUACUUGAACUUUAUGUAUGGGACCGUCGGCUCGACGAACUUUCUAUGUGUAAAUCUGCUGGGCAAGGGAGUGUUGGUAAUAGCAAUAAUCCUAGCGGAACUGCAGACAAGAUUUCUGGGGCCAACUACGAGAUUGACAAGAAAAUUGGUGAACUGACGUGUGAUAGAACUAUGACAGCUGUGAGGUCAGAUGGUACCACUGAUUGCACUGAUUGCACAAGUAACAAUAUUCCCAUUGACCAUCAAUCUGGUGAGACCGCAGCACACUUGCUUGAUGAUAGUCAGGGAGCUGGCAACUCUGAACCUUCUUGCAGUGAAGGUAGUAAAGAUGAAGGAUCUCGAUCUCUCAUUGCUCCUGAUCAAGUAGAGGUAGAGAGCACGCCACAAAACCAAAAAGUACCUUCACUUGAAGUUUCAAGUCAUACAGAGGUCCAGGGUAACGGGGUAGUUGCACAUCCAGUUUCCAAGGAACAAGAGCCUUCAAGCACUCUCCAGAAGUUCAGAAGUACUGAUUGGGAUGACAGUGAUAGAUGGAUUUGGAGUUCAUUUUGUGAGUCUCAACUGGCUUACAGGAAGGACAUUCAAAUGGGAUGUUUGGAGAAAUUUUAUCUUGUUAACCAUUACUCCCCAUCUCACCUCUCCCCCUUGUUUGAAAAACAUGAGGAGGUGGACACUCCUCAGUUCACAGUUGGCCCCGGUGGUAAUAUUUUAUGUGUAUUGGAGCAUGAGGUAUCUAGUAUAAUAGCUCGUGCUCUCGCCAUAUCUGAGGAACGUAGGCAGGAUACCAUAGUCGAGAACGAGACGGGGGAGGGCAGGGUGGAGCAUGGUAAAACGAUGGAGAAAUCCUAUAGCUUUUUCUCUGAAGGUUCUUUUAGCUCGUCACCAUGGUCAUCUAUUGGAUCAUUAGAUUCUGAAGCAAGCUUUUCAUCUUCUAUUUCGUCAUAUCCAUCUGACGACCUCUCUGGUUAUGAUACCUUGCCUUUAUUGUCCUUGGUACACCCAGAAAUCACUGUGAACGGAAAAGUAACUCUCAGAGGCAAAUAUUCGGUUACUAGUAUAUAUUCGAACCAAUUCUACCUUCUUCGAAAGAAGUGCUGCCCAUCUGAGCUUGCAUAUAUUACUUCCUUAAGCCGCUGUAAGAAGUGGGACGCUCAAGGUGGAAAGAGUAAGGCUUUAUUUGCAAAGACAUUGGAUGACAGGUUCAUCAUAAAGCAAAUCAAGAAAACAGAGUUUGAGUCCUUCAUAACAUUUGCCCCUGAUUACUUCAAGCAUGCUUACCAUUCUCUAGACACUGGCAGCCAAACUUGCCUUGCCAAAAUAUUAGGAAUCUAUCAGGUAGGUUUUUUUGACAACUGAUUUCUAUUCGAUUUAUUUCCUGACUUCUAUUGGGUUUUCAUAUGACUUGUUGUUUCAGGUCAAGCAAAUAAGGCAUGGCAAAGAGAUCAAAAUGGAUCUGAUGGUGAUGGAAAAUCUCAUGUUUGGGCACAAUAUUUCACGAAUUUAUGACCUUAAAGGUGCUAUUUUUUCACGACACAUCGCCAAAUCAAAUGACCCUGACACUGUUUACUUGGAUCAAAACUAUGUUGAGGACAUGCGUGUAUCUCCGAUCUAUAUUGGUGGAAGAACGAAGCAUCUUUUGCAGCGUGCAAUCUGGAAUGACACAUCAUUCCUCACUGUAUGUAUAAUGCAUAUCCUAUAUCUGCAGAUAAUCAUGUUUUCAAAUAAAUAUAUGUCCUAACAAAAUUAUUGUACUUGCAGUCAGUUAACGUUAUGGACUAUUCUCUGCUUGUGGGAGUGGACAAAGAAAAGAAUGAACUUGUGUUUGGCAUCAUUGAUUAUUUGAGGCAAUAUACUUGGGACAAACAGCUGGAGACAUGGGUCAAGAGUUCUUUGGUUCGAAAAAAUGUUUCACCGACUGUAAUUUCACCCAAGGAUUACAAGAAAAGGUUUAGAAAGUUCAUGGCCAAGUACUUCCUCACAGUUCCGGAUACUUGGAGUCCCGAGAAUUCUUCUGGGCCAUACAAAUCCUUUGGCCAUAGCAAUAGCAAGUUGGUAGAAGCCGAUAAUGAUGACAACCUGCUUCAGCAUCCAAUUGAAGCUGAGGCAUGUGUCUAGUUCUGUUCAGGCUGGCAUGUGUCUAGGCUAUUCAGGACUCCUCUGACAGUGCUGUUGAAGCCUAUCCAGUCGUCGUCGUUGUUGUUUCUUUGGCUUGUUUUCGCUUUGUAAAAUUGUGUACAUAUGAGGGCCUCACAAUUGACCUUUCCAGAAGUUUGCACCUUUUAGGCAGAUUACUGGGCAAGUGAGGCCCACAGUACAUGUACCUAUACAAAUGUAAAUUGUUGAUUUCACAAUUAUUAUAGUGAAAUUUACAAAAUUGGUAUGAUUUUUUUGGGAUCUACUAGGCUGAAGCCUUUUCUACUUGCUUAAUUAUUUCUUAUAAUGCCUGACACGGCUAACCGUCCAUGUUGGACUUCUGAUCUCUGUUCAAAUUUGAUCAGUUUGAUCCGUAUUUGACUUUCAUUACUCCGCUAUAGUUACAUUCAUGGAAAUGGCCAAUUUAAUGCCUCUUGAUCUUACUGCACACCUUAUGAAGAACAUUUUGUUGUCAGAUGGACAUUGUCUAUUUUGUUGUGUGCACCCAGUCACUACAAUUUUGCAGAUCUGCUGGUAUGAUAUGUACUGCUUACUUUCUUUCAUCAAUCAGUUCCACGUAUUAUUUAAAAUGAGUGAAAUCAAGUUAAACUUGUUUGUUCCAAGUUUGUUCCUUGAAUUUUGUUGUAAUAUGUGUUUAUGCCCCAAUCUCUCUUAUGAUAUCAAGAAACAGAAUAUAAUUUGAUUCCUGUUUGUUUUCAGGAAAUAACUCACUGGGGAGGACACCACUCUUUAUAAGUCCUGCAUCACAUAGUAGCUGCCUGGUGACAUGCCUCAUCUAUGCAGUUGGUCUAUGACUCUAUGUUCUAUACUUUAUUGCUAUAUAACACUUGAUAUUUUAUAUUCUCAGCUUUGACGAGGCAAAUUGUUAGUAGAUCCUAAAAUUAACUAUUUAUUUAAUUUACACAGUACACACUUUGCUGAUAAGGGAUGCUCCAAAGUAAUGCUCCAGUUCCUUUUCUAGAACCACUGGUUAUUUAAAUUGGUGCAUUUUCAGGAGAAUUAUCUAGCAUCCUGUAAUGCAAUUUCUGAUUGAUCAGAUAAUUGAUGGAAAGAACUUUCUGUGUAUUCACUUAGCAGUCUGGCUGAUACUUAACAUCUACUAGUGUGUGCAAUCCAUAGUCUGGACCAUGAACAUCGGCAGGAAGGGAUUCCUGCAAAUGAACAUGUGAGACCUCGGUGAGUUAGUUCAUUUUAAGCUUUCUUAUUUUCUACCCUUGCAAAACUUUGUUGACUAAUCCACAUAACCCUUUGUUGAACUUUAUAGUGCGUAGCACAUUUUUCUGCAGCUAUAAUCUUAUCAUACUAUCUUAUAAAAAUUCCUGAUGAAUGUUAAACAUGUGUUUUUAUCAUUUGGCUGCAUUGGUGGAAUGGUAGAUAGUAACAGUAUACAUUUCCAAGAAAUGUGGUAUUUGAAUAUAGUCCCAUUGAUCUUCCCAAAGAGUUGCAGUGUGUGCGUGCUUCUUUCCGAGAGUCCUAUAUUUGCAUUUAUUUUUCACUGAUUGUUUCAGUGAGUAUGAAACUAUGAAUUCAUAUGCAGUGUCGCUUGUGAAGUUGGCUUUGCAGCAUUUAUCUCAAGACAUUCCUUUUUCCCUGUCAUUUUAUUACUAACGCCGUCCAAACAUAACGAGCACAAUGCAAAACCACCUUCGCCCACUUUUCCAAUUGGAGUUGCUAUUUGUGUCUUAAUACAAUUCUUUUUUUGCUUCCAAAAUGGCACAUAUACUGUUGUUAUAUAUGUGUGUGUUCAUGCUAAACUUUCUAGCUCAUGCCUUGUGAUCAGGAGAUUAUGUGUUGUCACAAUGUGCUUGAGAGACAUUCUUGGGCAUGUCGUGCCACUUGCAUCUUUGUUUUCAUGACUGAUGAAUACACUGGGUUACGUGACAGAUGAACUCAUGUUAGUUUUUCGAGCAGAGUCUACCUCUUGCUCAUUUGCGAGCAGUACUGAUUUGAAUAAAUGAUAGUACAGUACCUCAGAAGUCAGAGCACUGCUUGGAACAGGCGGUAAUUUGCUUCAACUGUAAUCUACACAUAUAGUCACAUCCGCUGAAUCUUACAUAGUUAACUUUUAAACAUGAAUAUAAGAAAUUGUUGACACUUCCUUCCCUAUAGUAGCAAGAGGCAGUAGUCUGCUAUUGUACCAAUCAUCAGUCAAGGAGGUAAUCCACAAGAAUGGGGUUGGCAUGCAUCUCUUUUCUCCUUUUCACUUUUGCAGGAGGGCAUCAAAUACAUUGGCAGUAAGAGUAUGACCAGAGGGAGGACUUUUAGAUCAUUGCAGAGUGGCUCAUCAUGAUUGCGUGGAUUCUAUGCAAGUCUUGUCAUUGAGAGGGAGGUUACAAAAGGAUUGUCUGGAGAAGGUGAUAAUCUGUGUAAUGAUGCUGAUCCUAACAUCACUGAUUCAUAUAGAUUGGCACACCAUAUUUUUUUUGAAAGAGAGAGAUUGGCUCACUAUAUUUUGAAUUCUGGAUUUAGGAUUGUAAUAAGGAAUGAGUUUUCUCUCGUACAUCUUUGAGAUUUCAUUAAUCAUUUUUUUUUGCAGUGCUACUCUCAGUCUGUUUGAAGUUCCCAUUAACUGCCGAUUUUGAACAGUAAGCAUUCAUCCUAGGUGCUAAUUUUAUUACACUGCACUGCAAACUCUUUCAAUAGCUCUUUCAAUAGCUGAAUGCUUUGUAGGAAUAAUGUCGCAUUAGAUUUUUCUCAUUUCAUUUUUGAAUUUUUUUUGUUUAGUAGCUAAUGAUGAAUUGAUCAAAUCUGAAGAGAGAACUGUGGCAUGGCACUGAUGUUUUCUUGGUUGCAGAUCCUGCUUUAGCAAAAAGCAGUUGGUGUCGCCAUUUCAGUAUAAGGGAUUCGAUUUGGUCGAUUUAUGCUCAGCUUUUUCCUGGUACUGGCAGAAGCUGCCUGAACCCCAAAGUAUGGAGCAUGGAUUAUGCUGCUGCUUACCAUCAUUUCUCUACUGUAUAACCCUGUAAAGCAGCUCAAAUCAAUCAAUUUUGCAUUGCAGCAGUUGAGGGCAUUCUCCUUUUUCCUGGAACCGAUGCCUUCGAGUUCAAGGUGAUCAUCAUGUCCCAAUUCCAGAAGGCGAUCUCAUGAUUCUACAACCAAAACGAUGACUGCUGUCGGAGAUCAUAUGGAGAAUCAUGUCAGGUAACUCGUUUUUUUUUUCAAAGCCACACUAAGGUGUGUAUUGUCCCUAAUUCCUUGCCUUGUCAUCUUCUCUAUUUGUAGUAAAAUAAUCAAUCUUUACUCUGCCAGUCGCCAUGGCAACUAGUGGAGUGAUCAAUGAUAAGGAAGGUGAUUAGCCUACCACCAAAGAACAAAAAGAAGACGCAAAAGAUGACAAGCACAAGAGUUCAUUUUAACACCCCUAGUUGCACCCUUUUUGUCUCUGUCCAACAAGCUGCCCACAUCUCCACAGCACUUUUCCAGUUACAGAAAAGGGCAAAGAGUCGCUUCCCUUUUCCAAUGCAGAUUCUUCCUUUCACUAUCAACCAUUAUAUCAUUCAUCCAUGGAAGAAACUCCGCCUAGAUCAAUGCAUUAAAAAUUACUACACAUAUUCUGAUUCUGAUGCUCAUAAUAGGUAGGCCUAAGCACAAACUGCCUGCCAUCACCAUUGCUGCUUAAAGAAGACACGAUGCAAAGAUGAUAGACACACACACUAGCUGGCUAGCUGCUAUGGUAGCUAGAGAGAGUAGCUAGAUUACCCAAUCACAAAAGCAAAAAACACCUACAUUUUUCUUAAAAUUGUUAGCCUAGUUGUACUAUCUACCAUGCCCUGUUUGUUUCUGCUAAUAGCUGCUGCAAACUCCGAUCAGCUUCAGCGAUGGCUGCACAGGUCAGACAGCAUCUUCCUGCCUUCCACAAUCUCAUCAAAGAAGUCAUCCAGUUCGCCGACGACACUCUCCGCACCUGACUGCAGCACCCCAACCCAGCCUUUGAUGAUCUCCACCCUCUCGGCGAUCUCACCGGGGUCGGCAUACCCUGUGGCGAUGACCCUGUCGAACUCUGCCUUGAGGCUCUCGAUGCCGGCCCUGGCCUGCCGGAACUCGUACAUCAUGACGCCAGAGCCAGAGUGCUGCCCGGCUACUGCCUCCAUCUCCUCGGCGACGCGCUGGCGCAGGCGCCCCAUGGAGGAGACGUAGCCAGCACCCGUGGCACGGAACAUGGGCGCACAGCCAAGGUCCGGGAGGCAGGAGACCGUCCCAGAGAUGAGGAUCAUGAGGAGGAAGGAGCUGGCGUUGCGCAGCGCGUAGAGCACGCCCCGGAAACCGUUGAAGGCGUUGAGCUUGAACUCCACGGGCGACCGGUCGUCGAGCAGCAGCGACGCUGGGUCGAUCCUAGCCUCCGCAAGCGCCCGGUUCUCCUGCUCCAGCCCAACAGCCUGCCGCCUUGGCGCGUUGAUCGCACGCAUCACCUGCCAGCCAGUAGGUGUCAAUGAUGUGAUCAGAAUCAGAUAUAUUCAGAUCAAUAGAGGCAGGGGGGGAUCGUCGAUCGGACUGUACCUGACGGGCUGUGUGUGGGUUGGGGCUGCAGAGCCAGUCGUCGAAGGCGGCAUCGAUGCGGGUGGCGGAAGCGCAGUAGGUGUCCAGCGCGGUGGCGCCGGCCUUGACGACCUGGCAGGCCUCCCAUAGCCGGGAGGUCUCGUCCAUGUACUCGUCCAGCCAGCUCUCACCGGGCGGCAGGUGGAGCCGCUGCACCAGGUGGACGAGCUGCGAAUGCAGGGACCGGAGCAGCGCCGCUGCCUGUUGGAGGAACGGCGCCGACACGAACGCGCCCUCCGGCGACGAUGACGAGGCGGCCAGCGUGCCGUGGAGUUCGUCCAGGCCGUGCGCGAUGGAGGAGUAGAAUCCGUUCAUGGCGACUCUAUUUGUUGUAUAACUGGGAGCAGCAGAGCAGAGCAAAGAUCGAGAUGAGAAGAGAGUGUGGUGCAUGGGAGUGGAGGCUCUGCGCUGAGCUGGAACAGAGACUCUCGGUCAGCUUAUAUAGAGGAAGACUAGAAGACUGGACUUAGAGUGAGGGCAGUGAGUUGUACUAUGGGGAAGCAAUGAUGGUUUGUCCGGCGGUCAGGGGGAAGGAUGAUUGGGGACUGGGCUGGGCAGCCAUUGCCAGGACUCCUGUAUGUGCUCCUCCUCUUCAUGACCAUUCUAAUGGCAUUGCCAAUGCUUGAGAGCUAGUCCUACUAGCAUGCAAUGGAAUGCAUGGGAAAAUGUACUUACUCAGCCUAGCUAGCUGCCACAGCCAUUUUAAUUUCCCCAUGAAUAUCCCACCAGUUAAUUUCCCCAUGAAUAUCCCCCCACUCCAGUACUCCUACUCCAAUUCUUGUCUUGAGUUGCAUACUGCUGGUCCAGAUUCAAGGGUAGGGACCAUUUGCCAUUGACAGUGUACUACUGGCGAUUGAUUAUGAAGUUGUUGGUGCUAAUCAAGGACUCACUAGUGCUACUACUACUUGAGCAGACAGCUGUCAUCUGCUGCUGCUGCUGCUUUCCAUAUUCUGAAUCCGGGUGGGAGGGAGGAAAAAGGAGGGGGGCCAAUGUGCCGGGCCUCUGCUGGGAGCACCAUCAAUAAGCAGCAAGGAAGCAAAGAGAAGCAAGCGCUGGCUGCACUGCACUCCCCUGUCUGGCCUUCCCAAUGCACUCAGCCACCUGUUAGUCCAGAAAGGAAACAUUUUUCCUGGAUACAUGAACUCUAUGGAGUAUAUUGACCAUUGCAGCCACUGUGGGUACUUCUUUGCAACAACAUAUAUAUAUAUAUAUAUAUAUAUAUAUAUAUAUAUAUAUAUAUAUAUAUAUAUAUAUAAUAUAUAUAGUAUGGCAGCUAGCUGCAAGCAAAUGUGUUUGUUUUCUUGUUCUUUUUUCUUUUGUGCAGGCCUGAAGAGGAGCUAGCUUCUUCUUCUUCGAGAUGCAUGGGAUGCGUUGCUGCAUGAGCCAAUAGGAGCAGAGGAGUAUGAGGACAAAGUUUCAAAGGUGGCAGGGAGUCCUAGAGAUGUGUCGACAAGGUGAGCUGUACUCUACUGCUUACUUGCCCGUGGAUUAGUGGGGCACUUAAUUUAAUUUGCUUGAAUUGAUGUUAGGAGGAAUGAUGGGUUUCCUUGUACCCGUACAAAUCUCUCAGUCCGCGGCCAACACAACCCCCAUGCUUCCAUGCAAUGCAAUGCCAAUGCAAUGGCUUGGCCGCCUUUUGAGGUCCUUCUCCCUCUCGCCCGGGCCUCCAGUCCGGCAAUCAUGCCCAAUAUAUGCUCUCGUGCCCCCUUCUUCUUCCUCUCCAUUAUGACUACUCCGUUUCUCUAGGGCACACGUCGGGCCCCGCAUGUCGGUCAAGCCCUUGAGAAACUCAUGACAGUCUUAAUUCCAACACACAACUUCUACAAAAAAAAAAUGUUUCUAUUGUGAUGAUACUGUGUAAAUUAAGAAGACUACAAAUUAGUCUGGAUUGACAACAUUUCUAACAUAGUCUAUGUUGCUUGUAAAACAUGCAUGCUUGUAGUAUACUAGUACUGCAUAUAUGCGGUGGCUUCAUUAUAGUAUUAGGAUUGUCUUUUUGGUCCAAUCCAAUUCAAACACCACAGCUUCAUCGGUGCAUGCAAUCCAUCUCGUGGCAAGUGCUAAACCCUUUUAAGAAAUGGAGCUCGUGGGGUUUUGGGAGGAGGCGAGGGGGAUGUGGAUUUGGUUGGGGAAAUCAAAGGGGAUGUGUGUUGUUUCCUUUGCCCUAACCAAGAACAAAGAUUAAUUAAGCUAAAUCUUACUCCAUGAUCCAUGCAUCAGCUAGGAGCUACCUUUGAAAUACUACUACUACUUGGCCAGCCGUGCCGUACAUGCUGCGUGGUUGACCGGUGGGGGUCCAAGCACCACUCAUCGGCCGGCCAUGAAUAUUCUUCUUGUCCUCUUCCUGCUCUCUCUCUCCAGUCCUAUAAUCCAUGCAUUCAUCUCACUAUGUAUAUAUAGGCUCAUUGCAAAUUAAACAGAUCAUAAAAAGCAAAGAUCAUCUGUUUUUUUUAUUUAGAUCAAGACGGUUCGACUCCCAUAAUUGAAUUAGAUGAAAAGACCAUCUGCUAAACGUUUGCCAAACAGAAGAACAUACAGUUCAUAUGCAAAACACUUUUAUUGUCGGAAAAAGCACAUUUUUUUGGUGUGUGUUCUAUCUAAUCAACUCUCUGUGUCUUAUGUGUUAUAUACUAUCUAAGUAAACUGUUUCCUGCAAAUUUUUCCGUGGCGCGGUCUCUAUUCCGCAUCCGCAAUAUAUCCUCUCAAUUUCUUCACAUAUAAAUUUCCAUGAAUUAAUUUGGUUUUCAUAGCAACGAGAUCCAAAAGGGCAUUAAUUAUCUGCCUGCCUGCCACAGUAAUUUUACUUCUUGGAUAUACACACAUAUAUAGUACACUUACUAUUGGCGACCUUGUCCUGGACGCAUAACUCCAUUGUUUGCUCGAACUUGUAAAACAGGUGGUCACGGAUAUAUCUACGUGGCACACGUAUGCAUGUCUAGUCCAAAUUAGCAUAUGGGUUGGCGGCAACAGCAUGCAUACAUGAAAGCAGCAACGGCUAGCUUUUAAUUUAGCAUGUCUGGUCAGUCACACACACACACACACACACACACACACACUAAUUUUCUCUCUUCUUUUUUCAAAAUUUGUACAGACAUUAUUAUGAAAAUUAGCAGUACUACACUGCCAGUACAGAGUACUACUGCUACUGCUAGGUCUCAUGAUCAAAGUUGCUAGCUUAGCUAGGUGUGCUGUAGAGCUGUAGGAGUGUAGUAGUAGCUUGCAAUGGUGUGGCUGCUGGCUUGACCAGAACUUUGAAAAAUGCAUGCAAUGCAUCUAUGCUUGGACAGCAGCAGUCUACUACUACAAGUACUUAUCACUCUACAUACAGUACACAGAACAGAGAUCAAAGUUGCUGCUGCUGUUGUUCUUCUGAAGCAGCAGCCAUGCAUGCAUAAGGCUGACAGACGGUGGUGUUCUGUAUUAUAGCGUAGCUGGUUCUCGUUUGAUUACUGCUGUCAAGAGAACCCCGUGCGAUGCUACGGAACAACGGAAAGUGUAUCAAGCACGAGCCGGUGGAGGCGAAGUCUGGACAUUGAUCAACCGGCGCUCCCCUUUGAGUUGAGAUCUGCAGGCGCCUCCUCAGCCUCGUCAACGACGGUGUGGUUCUCGCUUCCCAGCAGGGGUGGAGAUCUCCAGCGGGCUUCUGCUUCCCUGUCUCCGUCACGCCUUGUAUCCUCGAUGGGGGUCUCUGGGUCGGUGGUCAGGGGCCGGACGAAAUCCCUGCCCGGCUGCGUCCGGUGCCAACGACGGCGACGCCUACGGGCGCCUUUACCUCCUUGGAGGCGUGGUCGUGGCCCCUGACCAUUCCUUCUCCAUCCUCGGGCUCCAGGGGAAACCCUUGGUUCGGUUUGCCAUGGCUCCGAAUCAGGCAGCAGCAGCGACACCUUGGCAUCGUAUCCUCCUUGGAGGCACUGCUUUGGUAGCCCGUGGGAGUUCGAGUGUCGUGGCAUGAGAUGGCAGCCUCUCUAUUCUUGGCGGCGAGGCUUGGUGGUAGCGCGAAGCCGGUGUUGAUCCUCUGCUCUGGGCGUUGGACUUCAAGGCGCGAUGUUCGUCACUAUCGGUUCCCUAGAUGAUGCAUCCUUCCCAAUUCAGUCUGGUCCAUUCCUCUACUUGCCGACCGGGGCUUGAUCUGCUUCCAGAUUGGCCUCCCUUCUUAGGCGUAUUGUUGGGGGUUGGCCAGGGUGGUCUUGGUGUCAUGGUCGCAGAUUUGGGUGUCCUGCAGCUAUCGUGAAGCGGCCUUCAAGGUCUUGUGCUCUGCCUUCUUUGCCCUAGGGCUGGAGGUGGGCAAGGCGAGUCUCAUGUCAUUGUGGUUUGAAGCUUGGUGGUGUCUCUUUAACCUGCUCUGACCCCAAGUUGGCUCAAGAUCUGUUGGCUGUAGGUCUAGGCUAGCUAGGGCUCCGUCUUAGGUCGUCCGGAGAGGACGGUCAUGUUUUUUCUUGCUUGGCCUCGCCGUUGGCGGGUGCGGUGCAUAUGUUGUAAAUCUUGUAACUUUUGGUUACUCACGCUUCUUUGCGCUUUCUUCUUAAUGAAAAUGACAUGCUUCCAGGCGUGUUCGAGAAAAAAAAAUUAGAGUCUGUUUUGAGGAACAAAUUGGCAGUUAAAUGCUUGAAGUUCAGUUCAGUUUGCUGCUGGAAUAAAGAAGAAACAACAAUUUUGAAUUGCGAUGAGAUCUAUCGAAGAACACAGCUAGCUCAUAUAUAAUGCUCUCCAUGGAAUUUGGGGUGAAAAAGGGAAGGAAAGAAGAGGAAAGCUGAAAAGAGGCAACUAAAGGAGAUGCUAGUCAAGUGUUCUCCAAAUUUUGUGUUGAAUGGCGGCUAUAUUCAUGAGUAGCAGCAAGUAGCCUAACUAGUCAAGUGUCCUUGCUGUGAUGAAUUGAAGCAGGCAGGGCAGAGCAGAGCUGUGUGUCCUCCUAGAAGCUAUAGCUAGACCUGAAGAAAGUGCAUAUCCUCCUCUAUCACUUUUCUCACCGCCAAGUUGUAAAGGGGAGAAAGACAUGCAUGGAAACUGCAAAGUUGCCUCGCUUUUACAAACCAUUGCCUUUUUGCAGGAUCUGAUCUCUAUUUCCUUUCCUGUUACCUCUCCAUGCAGCUGCUAUGCUGCUAUAGUAGCGUAUGAUCUUGGCCAUCCAUGCAUUUCUCCGUCUUGUAGCUCGGCUCGGCUGCCUAAUUGCUGGCUAUGUUGGUUGCUUUCUGGAGACAGAGAGGGAGAAUAUGCUCCAUGUUGUCCAAAAGGGAAACGCAAAAUCAAUUGCAUCCACGGUGGUUCGUUUCUUUCCUUCUCCACACUGUCUUUCUGUCUUCUUUUCUUUCUCUCUUACGUUUGUAUUUCUGAAUGAAUUGGUUGUGGUUUUACAUGUAUGUUGAUUUUUGUUUUAAAGCGUUUGCACCAACAUAUAAUACAGGCAGUUUUUUUUACAGUGCAAGAAAAGGAGAAGGACAGAAAUGAAGGGAAGCUGUAUAACUUUAACACAGCUGCUAUACAACUAUACAAGAGAAGAAGCAGAGACUCUGACAUUGAACUUGAUCAUGGGCCAUUUGGAAUAUGCUCUGACAUGGAGGUGGUAAACAAGCUCAAUCGGUUUAUCAAAAACCAGCAAGGUACAAGCAAGGGUCCAGACACUGAAGAACUGAACAAAAAGCAAGAUAAACCAGGCGAGAGAACCGCCCAGCAAAGUUGCAGACGCUAAACUAUCAGAACAACUACAAGAGUCACAAAACAUCACGAUAAGAAACAGAAAGGCUCAUUUGUGUACUAAGAUGAUAUAACUUUGCAAUAAAAUUGGCUGUGCGCAUCGUUUCAUCGUUUCGAUGCAGAGGCCGGGAAGAACCCCUUUUCGAAAAAAAACGGUUCGUCCUUUUCCAAUGAGCGUUCUCUAGCAUGAAUUCGAAUGUAAUUCGUGCACGUAAAUGAGUGGAAAAAAGAAUGCUGUUGCAAGGGGUUGGAUCAUACUGUCUAGGAGAUCUUAUCUAAUGACAUACAAACAGGAGGCGCUCGUGGCCUAAUGGAUAAGGCAUUUGACUUCUAAUCAAAGGAUUGUGGGUUCGAGUCCCACCGAGCGUGUUCUUUUUUCUUAAAUUUUUUUCAUUCAUUAUGCUUCCCAUUGAAACUUAUUUUCUUCAGCGCAUGCUAUUCAUAAGUCGUCUAAAAAGGAAUUUUUUUUUGUGCCAAAUUUUAGCAGUAAUCUUGUUGUAGCAUCGGCAACCCCAAUCAUGAAAAUAUAAAUUCAUAGAAGUGCCAGCAUAAGAUAAGAUGCUAUUAAUUUGUCCAGCAACUGAACACAGACGCUAGAAAAAUUCAGAUCAGGAUUCCAAGAACAAUAAACUGGGUGCAGCGACCAGCAUUAAAGCUUAAAGCAAUAGGGAUUGUAAUCCAGGGGUCAUCAAACAUAGUAGCAUUGUCACUGACACCAAAAAGAAUGUAUAUAUGCUGGAGCCUUUCUCUAUGCCAAAAUGCUGUUUAUUAAUUGUCUCUAUGAUUGUCAACAGCUAGGGACUAUGCAUUGUAUUGCUUCCUAGAUCUUCUCUUGCUUUUCGCCUACGAGGGGGAGCAUCUCCAUCCGGCUUCUCGGGGUCCGCGGGCUCAGGGUGGCGCCUUGCUGGGAGAUGAGAUGCCUCACGUAGCCGUAGAAGGUGCAGCCGACGAGCGUGAUCCCGCACCCGACCGCGUUCAUGGCGGAGAUCGGGUUCCGGAAGAUCAUCCAGGAGAUAAGCACCGCAGCAGCUACCUACACAGACCCAUCAUGGUACCAUCAGUUUCCCAAUGCUGAACUUUGUUUGUUGGACUGAAGAAGCAGAGUGAAGAGGAAUGGGGAUAUCAGUGCUCUCACCUUGAGGUUGCCGGCCACGUUGAAGGUCACGGCGGUCGUCGAAUGGAUGACGUAGAAGAUGGAGAAGUUGAGGCAGAAGGCGAGAAUUCCUGAGGUGAUUAUGAUGAUCAGUGCAGGGACAGUUGACUCGUAUGUGUAUAGCCAGUUGAUCACGCCGCCCCCUUCGAGUACAAUCGCUGGUACUGACAGUAUCAUGGUGGCAAAGGGUGCCAUGUAGUACACCGUGUUAAUGCUGCAGAGAGAAAAAAGGAACAGAAAACACAGGUAACCAAGAGGAAAAAUAUGCAAUAUCGUAAUUGAUCGUGUAGGUACUAUGAAAAUAUGAAGAAAUUCUACAUAGCAUGAUGACAACAGAAGCGCUAUUACAUUAUCCAUGAAUAACUCUGUUAAGAACUAUUGUGAAUUAUCAGAUGACAAGAACUACUUCCCCUUUUAUUUUUACUUUUUCUUGUUGUGAAGCUCAAACAGAUGCUAUAAGAUCAUUUCCUCUGUAAACUGACUGGAUCACUGUUUACCUGUCAAAUUUGUAUCCAUGGAGUAGGGAUUCUGCCAAGAUGGUCUUUGUAGACGUGGCGAGGCAGCCAACCAUGGCGGCACAAAAACCAAACAUGUUGAAGCUAAGCUCAGUUACUGAAGUCAAGAGGAUUCCCCCCACAAUAGGAACCAAUGAAGCCCAUAUGCGCCACUCAAAGUAUUUCCUCCAGACCAACCACUGCAGGAUAACUGUUCUACAACGAAUCAGAAAAUGACGCAACAGCAAGUGCGAAAAAGGCGUCGUCCUCGAAGAUGAACAAAUCAGAGAACCUGUCGUUGCAGGAGUGAAGGAUUUGAUAGUCUGCAUGAAGGAGACUGGGAUGUACCGCAGGCUGACAUUUCCCAGCACGAUGUUUAUGCAGAACACAAAUGACAUGGGGAAUAUCCUUUUCCAGCGAUCCUCGGGGGCAACCUCGAUCAGCGGUUUUAUCUUGAGCAUUUUGAUUGCGAUGUAAGCUCCGAUGGAAGAGCAUAUGAAGUGGACGCACGACACGGUCAGAGGAAAUUUGAACUCCAGUUUCUGCAUCCCAAGAAAAAAAAAAUCAAGUUCAUGCUUUUCUGCUGAGGAGGCUGCAAUAGUGCCACUGCCAUGAACUAAUUGUCAGUUUAAACUUGAAAGCAAAAAAAUGUUCAUUCCAAGAGAAAGAUGGUGGCAGAAGCCCAUGAGAAACAUCAGUCAUAUCGACUCUUCUACAUGUCAUUUGCGAUUAAGUAUGUUCUCAAAUAUUAUGGUACUAGUCCACAAAAACAUAUUAGCACAUAAUCAAUGUUAACUCCGAAGUCUGAACCUUGGGACAUUUUUCAGCUCACUAACGAAAUGGCUCCCAUCUCCAAUCCAUUUUGCGGAUUGUAAUCUACAUUAAAACCAAUAAUUACCAUCCCAAAUAUUUCCAAUCCUUCAUGUUUCUGAUUCUUCUUCCCACAAAUAUCUUCGUCUUAACUCCAAACCUAAUCCUUUUGUGGAGAAACCUAAUUCCAACAAUUUACAGCCAUGAAAAAGGACAAUCCCUUCAUAUUCCUAACAACAUGAUAAAUCAAAAGCCAGCUAAUCUGCUCCCCUGAUUGCGCAGAUCAACCCAUAAACAUGAACAAAUCCUCCGGAAGACGAGGAAAUCGAGAAUAUAUAUUGAAAGAAAAGUUGUAAGCAGAAUGGGACGGAGGGAGAAGAGCGGCCGCGAGACGGACCUGGAAGAUCCAUUUGUUCAUGAUGAUGACGGUGACGUUGAAGCACCACCAUUGGAGGAUGGCCAGCACCGCCCUCACCGUCGCCACGUUCCCCAUCUUCCCUUCCUCCAUAUGCAGCGCACAAAAACAACAAAGAUCCCCUGGAUUCAAUUCCAAUCCCACUAAAAAAGAAACGCCUUUAAUUUCUUCCAGCCGGAGUCCAGGAGAGAAGAAAAAGGCAGAAAGAGACAGAUGCUGGAACGGCUGGCGUAUUUAUGUGUAAUUAAUCAGUGGAAAACUCCUCUUGAUGAUCCAUUUGUGGAAGGCAGCAGGCUGGCUUCUAGAAGACCAUGGUGGUUCUUCUAGAAGGUUCCAGAAGCCGUCAAGGCGUCAGGAGAAGAGGAGGAGGAGGAGCUAGAGGGGUUUCGCUUUCGGUCGUAGGAUUUGCAGGUUGUGGUUUUUAGGUUGAGAGUUCGAUUGGUGUGAUUCUUGCCUCUCAUAAUACGUGUUGCCACUCUUCUUCUUCUUCUUCUUCUUCUUCCUCCUUCUUCUUCUUCUUCUUCUUCUCUUCUUGUAUACGUCAGCCUAGCCAGCUCAGGCUUGGACACGUGUCACGUGGGACCGUCUCAGCCGAGCUUGGACACGUGUCAUUUAAAAACUGUUUAAUGGGUCGACAUAUGGGCCUCUCUAUGAGACUCCCCUGGGACCUCCAACCAAUCCCUGCAUCUGCACAGAACACACCAUUCUUCUGAUGAAAUCAACAGCAUUUCAAGCUCAGCUCACCCGUAGAAAAGCCAGCUUGCAGCAGCCUUCUUCCCCUUCACCACCAACAAUUAUUUUACAUUCCCAAUCACAAAUCGAUAACAGAAAGCACAAACAAGUAGCUAGUCAAACAUUGUUCUAAAAUAUAUGUUCUUCAUCAUCAUAGAUCAGAGGGAUAAAAACAACAGGUGAUGAAGCACAAAACGUUGUAAACAAAACAGCAUCAUUCGUUGCUUACAGCAAACACCGAAUUAACCUCCCUUCUCCACACAGAAAGGGAAACAUCAAAUGGAGUAAUAACGUUCCAUGCAGAAACAGCCAACAUAAACAGUCUUCAACAGGUAAGACUUGUCCCUGUAAAUGUCAACUGCACAACUGACUGGUUGAUUCAACCAGUCAUGUCAGGGUACUGUAUAUGGCCCCUUCAAAGAGGGGGCCGCCAAAAGGAUCAUCCUUUUUCUUCUUUGAAUGUAAGCUUGGCCAAGCAAAAUGUUGCGGAAGAUAUUCUGCUUAUUACGUCUCUUUGCCACCAACUAGCUAAGAAUCCGACUGACUGGCAUGCUUCAUGUUCUUAUGUCUCUUCAGGACAGACAACUCGUACUUUUGCAUCCCUUCCCUCGCCCUCCGUAGACUGCACGACGGGCAAUACCACUGGCCUUUCGGGAUGCAGGUGCGCUUCGGCGUCAUGCAGUAUAUGUGAUAAGCUUCGUCACAGCCGUCGCACAAGGCGAUAUCUUUGUCAUCCUUAUUCUUGAAGCAGCAUCUGCAGAGACAGGACGGGCAGUACCAGCAUCCGAGGUUUUUCUGCUUCUCAGACGCGAUCUGGCUUUCUCUGAGGCAUCGGAUGUGAUAGAAUUUGUAAGAGCAGUAAGGAUGACCACAUACCAAGAAUCGCCUGUCGUCGUCUUCGCAUGUGCCGCAGUGUUUGCACAGCUUUGCAAGGGCAGUUGUGCACAGGUCUGGCUCGUUGUCUUCCACCACGCAUGGCACGGAGCUCCCCUCUCUUUCAUCAGCUAACUCCAUUCCACUACCAAUUUCAGGCGGUUCUAUUUUCUCAAGGACUUCAAGCCUGGCACACAGAGGACAACCAACAUGCAAACUGUUCUUGUGAACAUUUUUCAUGAUGUCUGCAGCUGACCCCUUCCCCUUAUUGCUGCAGGCCGGGCAGUGCCAGGUUGCUGGGAUCUGUUUCAUAGCAGGAUGGAGUCGCUUGACACAGUCAAAGUGGUACGUGCUGUCACAUCCAUCACAGAUAAGUCUUUUUUCUUCUUCUGCACCGUCUCCACAUUGCUUGCAAGUGCAAAUUCGACGAAGUCCACCUGUCUCGGUUCGCUUUGGAAUUGUAGAAUGACCAGAAUCACAUGGGGAGAACUGCACGGUGGUAGUCGAACCCUUUGGGAUUUUGUGGACGACACCAACCAAGCUUGUUUCCUGGUGAAGAAUGCAAUUAGUAAAAGGUGUUAAUAGAGUGCAACAACAACAAAAAAUGACCAGCAGACUGUCUCCAAACACACCAAUUACCUCUAUCCGGCGCUCAGCAGCAUCCUCUGCUUCAGAAACUCCAGAAGUCUAUAAAGAAUAUAUCGUAAGCAAUGUGCAGUACCAGCAUAAAAGCCAACAAGUUAAAGACUCCACAAUAGCUUGAAGCAUGGUCGUGGAGAAAAUAACUACAAAUUUACCUGCUUCUGAUAAGAAGCUCGUGAAAUGAUUGGAAGAUUGCUUGCUAGACAUGUCAUCUCCCGGCCAACUCGUUCAAACUUCUCCCAUGUCUACAUCAGAAACAAAUAUCCAUACAGAUACAUGAAUAUGAUGACACUUUACUCAGAAUAUUGUUUGCCUGAAUGUUAUGCAACUUCAGGUGAAACAACAAUAGCAAGCAAGCAGUUUCAUUGAGCACUGCUCCUAUACUAGCUACAACAUGGAAUGUGCUACUUAGAAAACAUGAUUCAUCCUCCCUUGGGAGUCUCCUGGUUGGAUGAUUCAAACUGUUUGGAAGGCCAAGGCAGCUAAUGUGCAAUCAAAUGGUGCAAACAUAGGAACUAGUUUCAGAACAACAGUGUAUAAAGGGCUUUCUCUACUCUGCCAAGUAAAGUGAAGUUUAUGUAUCUAUACUAGAUAAAGCUCAAGAAUAAACAAGAAAGCAGUUAUUUUUUCCGAUGAUUGAGUAAAAUGGAGAUAAAGCUACCUGCUGGAUAUCUUUGUUGAACAACGCCGGAUUCUGUGCAUAACUUCCGUUUCUCAUGUUGGCGUCAAUUCUCCCCAAAUCAAUGACCUCAUGAACAUUAUUCACAUGGAAAGUUUCAACUAGCAGAUCACACAGCAGGGCAAAUUUCUCAGAGACUAAAAUGUCAAGGAGAGCACUGUUGCACAUUGCUGUGUUGGCAUCCAAAGAUGCUGCAGUUGCAUCUUUUAACGCAACAAAGGAACAAAUCUCUUUCGCAUCCGCCAGCCCAGUAGGAUGCUCAUCUGACGAAUCUUGGGCCUUCCCAAGGUCACCCUGGUAAUCACAGAAGUUCACCGUCAGUUUCAUAUCACAGUAUAACAAGGUUGCUCUUUUUAUUAAAUAGAUAUGAGAAAAGCAAAGAAGAUGAUGACUGACUUGUUGUUCAGAUUGGCAGCGGUUGUAUCUGAGAGCGUCACAGAUGCAGCUGUGAAUCCCACCGCCCUUAUUUAUACCUGGGGCUUGCAGGUAGCCCUCCAAUGUGUUCUUCCAAGUAAUCCAAUGCCUGGCCAGCAUUGGGUGCCCAUCUUGGCGAGAAUUGCCACCGUACAGCAUCAUGGCGGCACUAGACUGCACGGAAAUAAAGCAACCAAGCACAUUGGACACGGUUCGGUUAUGUAUUACAGUAUAAAAUAGGCAUCUCAGGAGUCAGGAGACAGAAUUCCUAGGAACAAGUAGCAGGAGCCGAGAUUCAGAGCAAUUCGAAAGAACAGAGUGAGCAAAUCUAGCCGCGUGAAAUGAAAUCUUGGCUGGAGUGCUUAUGGCACCAGGAAGCCAGAGAUGUCCCAGUUGCAACAGCGGAACACGGCGGCGGGCGGGCGGGGGGAAGAAAGAAUGGAAGACGGGGAGAGCAGGGGUUAGAUGCGAAAGCUUGGCUCACCUGUCCGGGGUCGGAGCUGGCGCCGCCGUCGGCGCGGGAGGCGGCGCGGCGGCGCUUGCGCGUGUAAGUGAGGACGCCGCCGCCGCUGCUUCCGCCGGGGGUCUCCGGGGCGCGGCGCUUGGGCGGGACCGGCGGCCGGCUGGCGCCGUCCUGGGAGGCGGACAUCUUGGCUCCCGUCCGGCGAGGCUACAGCAUGUGUUUUCCCCGGCGAAGAGCGGGGCCUAGACUGGGAACUCAGCGGGAGCGCAGCCGCGGCGGGGAGGACGGCCGAGGGGGCUGGUUUCUAGGGUUUGCGGAGGGGCGGUUUGCUGGGGAAGGAUUUGGGGAUUUGUGUGGGGAGCGAGGAGCGGGAGGAAGGAAGAAGAAGAGAUUUUGCGAAACGGAAACGGGGAAAGAAACGGAAACGCGGACGGACAGGCUGUGUGUGUGCUCGCCGUCACGGCUGCCUGCUUUCAACUCUCUCUCUUCCGUCUCCACCAAUUCAAAGUGCUCACGAAAUUGGCAGCGGACGUUCGUUUGGUAUGCUUAGGGGGCGACAUCCCCGGUGAGGAGAUAUACGGUGGAGGAUGAGGCGUUGGGUCGGUAGGCUUAGGGGUCCACGUCUCCGGUGAGGUUUGGUAGGAGGAGAUAUACGGCGGAGGGUUGGGUCGGCAUGCUUAGGGGGUGACAUCUUCGGCGUUGUUGGGGUAGUAGGAGGAGAAGGAAAGGGGGAAGGGGGAGGACGGCUGAUCGUGGUGACGGUGAGGUUGUAUGUAUAGGUGGCCAACUAAGCGGAAGGAUUCGAUUUUCGUUGGUGAGGAAAUGUCUUCCCGUGGCUGUGUAAGGAAGGAGAGGCCGUGUCAAUAGGAAAUGAGCGAGAAGAGGGGCAGGAGGAAGGAGAGGCGGCUGCAAGAGGGGAGGAGCGACGAGAGGCAGACAGGGAGAAAACCCUAAUAAGGCAACAGCUGUAGGGCUAAAUGGGCUAUAGUCCAUAGUUGGGUUGUGCUUUCGCUCUCUUCUUUUUUUCCUCAUGUUCCCCGUUGUUAUCCCAGGCCUUAAUCGCUCUCUUAUUUUUUUUUCCUUGUUGGCCCGUUCGGGCAGCCCAAGCACUGUAUACGCGAGUUGGGCACCGGGUGGAAACAAAAUGUCAUCCACUGCCCAAUGCCUUCCCAAACCUUAUAGGUCACUACGUAUUCAACACAAGUAAAGAACUUCGUACCAAACAUUCAUUUGGUAAUGCUUACGGACGAUCUCUUCUAGGAGGAUAUGUGCGGGACAGGAGAUGUCGAAGAGAAGGUAAGAUGGGAAGACAAAGGACCGCUGCCCUUGACAACGCGUUUGUACGUGUCAAACAGUAUUGAAACAAGUAGAUAACUUUGCACCAAACUCUUAGCUCGGUAAUGCUUAGAUGGCGAUGUCUUUUGUGCCGCUUCGGUAGGAGGAAAUGUGUGUAGAAGAGAAACCGAGGAGGAAGAAAAUAAGGGGAAGGAACGCAUGCAGCUGACCUUAACAAUGGCGAAGUCGAACGAAUCACUUGGUGUGGCCACAAGACGACGGCGUGGUCGAAUGGAGUGGCUGAUCCAAGCGGGCGGUGCCCCCACUUGACCACGGGACAACGCCGAUGGCUUGCGGGACGACGACGAUGUUAGAUCUAAGAAACGGUGUGGCGGCGGAUCUGAGAAGAAAGAGGCGGAGGGGAAAAGAGGGUUUGGGAGACUAACCAUACGUGGCUAUAAAUACAAUCGAUGAUGUCCUGGGAAAACAUGAGGCGCAAUUGCGGAGGCAAAUAAAUGUACUACAUAAAUGAGCCAAUUUUGUGAGGAAAUUUCUCUCUUUCAUAUCAGAAAGUCUGUAUGUACGACGAUUUCGUGUGAUCUACUCGCCGAUCCAUAAUAAAUGAGCGACACUUCUUAUGGAUCUGAGGGAGUACUAAAUUUCCUCAAGCCCAAGCCCAAGCCCAGAUGGCAAUGCUAGUAGUUUGUCUUUCAUAUAGCUUUGCUAGGCCAUCUGUAUACACGCUGAAAAAAAAAAUUGCAGGCCAUGCCAGCCAGCCUCACAAAGUCAGGUGACUUAAGUCAGAGAAUACUGGCUGGUGUCAGAUGGUAGCUAAUUCCAGUUAAAUGUUGUCAAUUUUCAAAGCAGAAGCAUGAAACUACAAAAAAUAGUGGCAAUACAGAUAUGCGUAUAGAAUAUUGAUUUGCUAUCUUUCUUUCUUUUUGCAAGGAAAGUGCCAUUCCCUUGCCUGAGGAUACUAUAUUUACCACUGCCGCGUCGUUUCUCCCCUCGGCGGCAGUGAGACAUCAUAUCAGAAGGCGCUGGAGACUACAUAGCCUGCCAACGAAGAACAUCACACAGCAUGAUCCAGCAACGGGCCGCUCGCUUUGCCUCUAAAUGAGGUUGUCAUCCCUUCGCCAAGCCUUUUACCUGAACAUGGUGUGCUCAUCCCGUUAGAUGAAGACCUCAAUCAAAUUGUGAACUGGACAGAUAAGAUGUUGGAUGAUGCAAGAUAUGACAAUUUUGAUGUGAAAAGGAAAGACCAAAUACUGGCAAGAUCUCUAUACGUGAUAUCAUAAUAGUCAAUAGAAGAUCAGCAUGAGUGGAAUCACAUAAGUAAUGUCAUAAAACUUAUCAUCAGGGCUUACUCUCUAUCAAGUCAAAAAAGGAAAAUUUGCAGUGGCUGGUAUAGUUUAAAACAUGGUGAAAAGGAAAAAUUGCAGCAGCGAGGUGCUAUGUAUUAGAGCUCUUUUACGGUACCCCGGAAUUAAUAUUGGCCAUCCAUUCACCCCAAUCUAAUGGCUAUUGUUAUCGGGUACUCCACCGAUGGUUCUCUGGAGUACUACCUCGAAAAGGCACGGAGUACCUUGUUACAAGGGGUAAAAUAGUAAUCAGAGACUUUCUUAUUUCUCAUUAGGGGCAAUCUCUGAGUUUUUCCUCGCAAUCAACAUGAAAACAUUCCCCGUGUGAAAAAAUUAUAACCCGAUGAACCCUAAUUCUAAACAGGUGAGACCAUCAUCCAUAGAUUCAAUCGUAGGUCUAAAAUAAAUCAAUGGUAGAGAUGUAUAAUUGAUCCAAGAAUCCACUAGGAGGCUGCACAAUUGAUCAAUCCAUACGUGCUGUCGCUGCUGUGAUCCAAGAAUCCACGAGGAGUCUGCACAAUUGAUUGAUCCAUACAUGUUGUCCUUGCUGUGAACAGCGCCAUCAGAAUCCCGGACAGCGCUGUGCAGCCUGUAGCGGGUGAGCGGCGCGUGCGAUCAAGAAUAAAAGUGAACCAUCGACGGCGGGCAGAUCUGGCGGCUAGACAGCGGCGUGACCGACGGGGGCUUGAUCGUUCGUCGCCUCGUCGGUGGCCAGACGCGAGGGCAGGGCCGCUCGAUCAGCACUGUUCAGUCAAAACAGCCCUUACAAAAUGUCCAAAUUACCCUCAUGUUUGGACGGCCAGAUUUAUUUGGUACUCCAAUCCAUGCCAAAGAGUACCAGGGUACCGUAAAAAAGCUCAUGUAUUAUUGGUAGCUGGCUUCAACAAGUCAUGACAACUUGAAAUUUAAAUACAGUGAAAACAUGUGGAACUUUGUCAGGAUCAGAAGACUUAUUCUUAACACCGUUCAUCAUGUUGAGAGCACAGGGUUUGCAUAAACAAAGCAAAAACGCGUAAACCUCAGCAACCUAACAACUAAGAACUCACUUGCUAUUAGUUUUAAUUUGGUAUGGUUUCGUAUAUGUUGGAAUGUUUGAUUUUGUUGGAAUUUCCAAAGUGAACUAAAUGACGUAAACAACAAGCCAGGCAACUGGAAUCUGCAAUCGACAAUGGCAGUAGAAAAGUGUAGUGAUAUAUGUAUGUACCUGGGAGAAGAUGAGCAGCCGGAACUGUUAUGGGUCACAGAGAACACAUUGGAGAGAGACUUUGUGAGGUAUGCAAAGUUUGGUAUCGGCGGCAACGCGGGCACACGCUCCCCUUUCCUCAGCAGCUCCUCCAAGUCGAGCCUUUGCAAAGUGAGUACAGACUUGUUGUCUCUCCAAACAAAGGCGAGCCGGCCAUCCUGGAGAGCAAAGAGUGACCCGGGCUUUGAGCCAGGGUACCUGAACCCAUACCCCGCUGCAAUGCCCUCCCCGGCAAAGCUUCUCGCAAUGUCCACACGGCGGGAAUCCUCGUCGGACUGCCAUGGAAAUGCCUCUGUCGAUGGCUCGCCCAUCCGCGCGAUAAACAUGGCCGACCCAUUGGGAUGCACGACAUAGUGUGUGCCCUCCAACACCUUGGUUGCGAUCAGCAUAAGCUUCCUCUCGCUGUCUUCCUCGUAGGAGAGGAGCAGGAAGAAGAGGGCCUUCCGUGGUUUGCGGUCAUCCUCCGGCCGCCCCGGUGGCCACCCGAAUGUGCCUCCCCACAGUCCGGCAUACUCCCGGCCGGGCACCGGCGCCUGUGUCGCCAGCUUGUAGAGCGCGAACCGGUUGCCAUGCAUGCUUGGCCACGCUCGGUAGGUCGACAGCCGCAGCUGGGCGCCCCGGAGGCUCAGGCCAACGCUCUUGCCGGCGCGCAAGAACUCGUCCAAUGCCAGAUGCUUGCUGCCUCCGAACUCUACCGUUGAAUUGGCCGACGCAGAGCGCGUCACCAUCUGCAGCAGCCCUUUCCUGACGAACCCGGCCAUCGCAGACAGGCUCCUCCGAAGGGGAACCUUAUCACCUGCAGCAUCGCCGUUCGUCGUCGGCGGCAUCUUCUUGGCUGCUUCCAGCAGCAGAGCCUCGAGCUCUGCCCGGCUCACCAUGCCGCCGCCGGACGACGACGAAUCCUUGUGCAGACGCAGCAUCGCCUCCCGGCGCGCGGCGAGCAAGGGGAGGUCCUCAUCGGAGCGCGCGAAGAGCGGCGCCGCGGCGAGGUCCGGCGGGAGCUUGACGCGGCAGGAGGCGACGAGCGCAUCGAGCAGGCCGCAGCGGUUACCGAAGGAGAGGCGGGAGAAGCUGGAGGAGGAAGAAGAGGGAGAAGGCGCGAGGGCCUCGAGGAGGAGGGCGUUGGUGUUGGGGUGGAGGGAGGAGAGGCGGCCGGGGAAGAGGGAUCCGGCGCCGUGGAGGAAGAGGAGCGCGGGGCGGCCAUGGGCGUCGGCGAGGAGCUCGAAGACGGGCGCCCAGCGGAGGCGCGGGGAGAGCUCCUGCGGGAUGGCGCGGAUGGCGACGAGGGAGAGGAACCCCGGGAGCGCCGCCACCAGGUUGCCCAGCUCCGGGUUCUGCUGCGCCCAGAGACCGCGGAGCGGGGCCGCGGAGUGGAGGAAGCGGCAGACGGUAAGAGAGGAGCCCCCGGCGGCGGCGCGCCAUGAGAGGAGGUGCGACGGCGGGGAAGAAGAAGGGAGCAGGCGGCGGCACUGCGCCAGCCAGGGCUUGUCGGCAGCGGAGAGGGCCGCGUGGAGGCGGCGGUCGGCGGCGGAGAGCGCCAGGAGGUCCCGCGGGCGGAGGUGGGCGGAGAUCAGGGCCAGCACGUCGUCCGGGAGCGCCAGGAUCAGCUCGCCCCCGGCCAUGGAGAUCGGGGUUGGGUGGGCCGUCUGCUUCCUUUCGCCUUUUUCUUUUCUUUUCUCAACCUCAAAAAAGUUCCAAGCUUUAUAAUCCUGCGAGAAGAAGACUGUGAAGAGUGACAAGCUCAGCCUGGUCUUUUUCCUCGGACGAUGAAGAAAUAUCUCUUUUUUUUUGCAUUUCGCUCUCGUGCUAUUCUCGCUGGCCACCUUGCUAAAAUAUCUCGAACCACUGUCUACACCAUUUUAUUACGCUUAUCGGUCUAUUUAUCUGCAGUUUCCUCCACAUUGCUCGACAUUGAUAAAUCACCUUCUCUAGUCACCUUCAUGCACCACAAGCUUCAGUGGAUUUACCAAUAAUUUCUUAACCCGAGUCUCUUUCGGACCCAAAAGGUGGACACACAAACUACGUGAUCAACAAGAAUGAUGUGAUACGAGGCAACAAGCAAGGAUCCGCGUCCGUUCAUGGGUUCGGAGUGUCAAAACUCAGCUCUAUGUUUCGUAGGAUUUUUACAGAAUUUCAAUCCUAGGAGUUUUUUUCUACAUGUAGCAUGGUUUCAGAACGAACAUGUUAGAUUUCUAAGAACUGUAUCCAAAUUGGCAUAAUUCAUAAGGAUUCUAAACAUCAGGUACGAGCUCAUUUAAAAUUAUUAAAGAAUAAAUAUGCAUGACAUUUCAAUCAUCUAUUUUCAUAUUCAUAUGAUUUCAAAAUCCUAUGAACCGAAUAAGCCCUAGGAUUACGACGUUGUCAAGGGUCAAGAAUGUAAAAAAGAAAAGUGUUAUAGAAGGGAAAAAAACGUCACCGUCAAAAAGAAUGAAUUAGUUUUGAUUUGGUCACAAGGUCUAGAAGAAGAAGAUGCUGCUUCUUGGUGGAUGUCAUGUCGACGUCAAGAUCACCUAUUGGCACAUUUCGUCCAGUCGUCGUUUGUAGUUUAUGUCCAGCGAAUUUGAGACCCGGUCAAACAGUGAACUCAUCAUCCUCGACGACUUUGACCAGGGUGGGUCCUUUGGGCCUUAAAAGACUCUCCUCGCUUUGGGCCCAUUAUAUUAGACAAGACCCCUUAUACAAAACAAGAGAGAGGCCAAGCCCAUGAGCAGAAGAACGCAACGGGCUGUGGGCCGGAAGCAGUAUCACCGUGGCAUCGAGAGCAGAUUACUUUUUAUUCGCUCAAACUAACAAUGAAACCUGCCCUAAAAAAAAACUAACAAUGAAUGAUCCCUAAAAAAAAAUUACCACUUGAAUGACAGGUCGUCCUCUACAAUUAUGGUUGUUUACAUGGCCUAAAUCAGCCAACUUUGUCUGACCACUCUGCUCUACGGUCGAAUCUAAGCUAGUAACUUAAUGGGCUUGUUUGGUCCUAAUCAUGGAAGAUGAUGAUUGGUCUAUGACAUAGAUACAGACUGGGACAGGGGCGCCAGACUCGUGCCUAAUCCUUCUUGUUUCAUCCAAGAAAAGUCUUAAGCCGUAUACACUGCCAGCCGGUACGCAUCGCAAUCUCAGGAUGACGCUCAAAUUGUCAAACCAGUUUGUCCUAAGAUGAGUUUUUUGUUUUGUUCAACGUAUAGCUGUAAUGGUCUGAUGGCAAAGAAUCUAACUGAAUGUAUAGCUGCAUGGUCUGAUGACAAAAGAGUACGCAUCUCAGAAAAAUGCGGGCAAGAACACAAGCAAAACCAAAGAUUAAUACGAUAACACACUGUACGAAAUUAACACUGGAUAGAGAUCGAAAAAUAACAAUCAAGAAAUACGUAAAUGUAACCCUGCAAAAGAAACAUAAAUGUACUGCAUAAUUACAGUACACAAUAAUACUUGUUGCAGCAAAACUCUGAUGAUCAUCAUCAUUUCUGAUUGUGAAGACGUCCUUUCAAUGAAAUUCAAUCAAGAAACCAAUUGCUUCAUUGCUCAUGAUAGCUACGAGUAGCUAGUAACGGCAUGAAAUCGAGAUCAUCUUAAUCUGUUUUGCAGCUGAUUGCAUGCUCCUCAUUUCUUGGCGGCGGCAUUGCUGGAGGAGGAAGAAGCUGAAGCAGAGGAGGUCCUCUGUUCGUCGACCUUGUGCACCACCUUGCUCCUGCCUCUGUGCGCCACCAACAUCUUCCUCAGCGCGCGCAUCAUCGCCACCAGCCCCGGCGCCCUUCUCCGGGACGAGCCGCUCCUCCUCGCCGCCGCGACCUGCAGCACCGCCACCUCGCGCUCCUCCUUCGCUGCCCGCCGCCGGCGGGAAAUGUCGAAGGACAGGUCGUCGUCGGCCAAGUCCUCCCUGCCGUCGUCGUUGAGGUCCUCCCACAGGCUGUCCAUCAUCUCCUCUUCUUCGUCCUCGGCUCCGGCGGGGGAGCAGAAAUUGGCGCGCCAUGGCGAUGCGGGAGCGGCGCUGGAGUCCGCGGCAGAGAAGCUGCGGCGGAUGGGCGACGACGAGAGCAGCCACGCCGGCGGCGGAGACGCGGACGCCCUGCUGUAAUUCCGGCGGUGGCUGUAGGUGCUGCUGCUGCAGCAGGCGGCGGCGAGGAGCUGAGGCGGCGGCGUGGGGAAGCUGAAGUCGUCGUCUUGCUCCGCCAUCGCCAUUGCCUAUUCUCUUCUCCCUUCUCUGCUCUGCUCUGUUCUGCUACUGCUGGAUUGCGUCUUGGUGGGGAAGAAGAUGCCAGUAGUGCUUCUGUUACCUAGCUACGUGUUGACUCUCAUCAAAUAAGGAGAGGAAGAUACCUCAAAAAAAAAAGUAGCUGGAGUUUGGUCCAACCGCAAGUAUUUUGAUUGAUGCUUGAUUGGUGGUCAAUCAAGGCAUUCCCUAUUGAUGCUGUAUCAGUAAUUUGUUUCAUGCGUACAAACUUUGAGCUAGAGUUGGCUCCAAGUUUUGCUUCAACGUUUGACCUCUUGAGCUGCACAUAUAUUCAGUUUACUACUCACCCCUUGUUUCCAACACGGCAUAAAAACUCAACUUAGGACAGUUCAUUUGAGCAUCAUCCUGAGAUUGCGAUGCAUACCGGCUGGCAGUGUACAGCUCAAGACUUUCUCUUGGACGAAAACAAGAAGAAUUAGGCACGACGAGUAUGAUGUCAAAAAAAUAAAACAAAAAAAUUAGGCACGAUUCCGGCCCCCGUGAUGUCUGUCAUAGACCACUGAUAUUCCAUGAUUAGGACCGAACCCAUUGUUAAAUUAGUACUAGAAGCUUAGGUUCGACCGUAAGAUUAAGAAGCAGAGUGGACAGACGAAGUUGGUUAAGUUAGGCCAUGUAAACGACGAUAAUUGCAGCGAGCAGGCUGUUCAUUAAUUAAUUAGCACAAAACAGGGUUCAAACGGUCCUUGAUACUUCUAUGUCUGAGGUCAACUGCCGUCUGUGUAGCACUUGACGACGGAUGAGAACAUGCCACUGGCUAAUUAAUUGGCAAACAGAUUGCCAUGACAUACAUUACCUAUCCGUCUAAAAUGUUGCAGCGAUCCAGUAAUUCCGGUGGCUGGUUGCUUCUUGUCUCUAAUUCUUUGUUUUGAUUUGAGAAAACCCAGCCGAAAUGCUGGGCUGGGCUGUAUCCAAAUUCAUGUUAAGGUUUUGGCCCACAAGUCCAUUACCAUCACAAACAAUUAGCUUCUCUGUCCGCUCAAAAAAAAAAAAAGCUUCUCUCGUCCUGUCUCGUGACUGUCCUCGACAUACAUACUUUAUCUUUUGUCUUCUUUGAAAGAAAGAAUGCACAUGUAUACUUAUUUUCAUUCCGUUUGUUGCAAGUAUACAUCGUUCGUCCUAGUAAUGCAUACUGCACGUUCCAGAGAAAUCAGGACACUUGGACCAUUGCUUGAGUAUCAUCACUGUCGGCUUGGUUAAACAUCCCAAUUCCCAAAAUAAAACCAUAACAGAUACAUGUCACCCUCCCCGUGGAUCGCACUAGCAAUGGCUAUGUUUCCAGGAGACAAUCACAGCAGAAAUUGGACCCAGCAAGGCAGCAAGGACGAUAAGAACCUGACACAAUAGAUAAGCGAUUGAUGGGAUGGAAACAAAAUUUAAGCAGCGGUGAGGCCUUUGCACAAAAUUUAAGCAGCAGCCAACCACCAAAGAAAACAUGGAGGAUGUCCGGAUCGUCUCCCGGCGCAUGAUCCGGCCGGAGCCGACGAGCACGCGGCGGCCGCCGGAGCUGGAGCCGGAGACGGUGAUCCACCUGACGCCAUGGGACCUCCAGAUGGUGACCGUGGAGCACAUCCAGAAGGGCAUCCUCCUGCCCAAGCAUCCACAGGGGCACAGCCAUGCCGUCGAACGGCUCGCGUCGUCCUUCGCGCUCGCUCUGGGACGCUUCUACCCCUUUGCCGGCCGGCUCACCGUCGAGGAGCUCCAGCAGGACGGCGGCAUCGCCAUGUCGCUGCGCUGCAGCGGCGAGGGCGCGGAGUUCGUCCACGCCGUGGCGCCCGGCGUCACCGUCGCCGACAUCACCUCGCCGGUGUACGUCCCGCCGGUGGUCUGGUCCUUCUUCCCGCUCGACGGGGUGCUCGGCUUGGACGCCGCCGUGGCCUCCCUACCGGUGCUGGCCGUGCAGGCCACCGAGCUCGACGACGGCGUCUUCCUCGCCAUGUCGCUCAACCACGGCGUCGCCGACGGCACCACCUUCUGGCACUUCUUCAACACCUGGUCCGAGAUCAGCCGCCGGAGCGGCAACCACGACGCCGCCGCCAUCGGCUGCGAGAUCGCCUCGCCGUUGCCGUUGCUCCAAAGGUGGUUCCCUGAAGGCUGCCCCAUCCCCAUCCCUCUGCCCUUCGACAAGCCGGAGGACAUUGUCGGCGACCAGCGUGCCAAGUACCCGUCGGUGCAGGAAUGCUUCUUCCGUUUCUCCGCGGAGAGCGUAAAGGAGCUCAAGGCGAAGGCGAACGCCGAGAUGGCUGGCGCCCCAGCCACCAUCUCCUCGCUACAAGCCCUCUUCGCGCACAUGUGGCGCGCCGUGUGCCGAGCCCGACGCCUCGCGCGAGACCAGGACGUGACGUACAUCAUCCUAGUCGGAUGUCGAGGCCGCUUGGAGAGCAUGCCAUCGGCCUACAUGGGCAAUGCCGUGUCGCUUAUCAUGGCGAGGUCGACUGCCGGCGAGAUCCUGGACAAGGGGCUGGGCUGGGCAGGAUGGCUCCUGAACCGGGCCGUGGCAUCGUUCAACAUGGCGAGCGCAACGGCUGAGACCGCGUCUUGGCCUCGGAACCCUGGCUUCGUGCGUCCUCUGGCGUCCGUGUUAGACGGUCAACCAAAGUUGUCCACGGGGAGCUCGCCACGGUUCGACAUCUACGGAAACGACUUCGGAUGGGGCAGCCCGGUGACCGUGCGGAGCGGCUCGGCGAACAAGGUGGACGGGAAGAUGACGGUGUAUGAGGGCGGCGAGGGUGCCGGUAGCAUGGCGCUGGAGGUGUGCCUUGCUCCGGAGGCGCUCGCCAGGCUCGUCGCCGACCAAGAAUUCAUGGACGUGGUGAGCUCAACCAAGGAGUGAUCAAUGAUCAAUCGAGCUCCUUUUCUUAACCACCGUGCCUAUGUUAAGUCUUAGAUCUGCAUCACUCAUCCUCUAUGAAAUUUAUGUAUUUGCCAAGAACCACUGGAAUGAUGAUAUUUUGCAGUACUAGUGAAGUGUCCAGAUGUUGGUUGCAGCCCACCAUUCAACAGAAAUCAAGCAAUCACAAGAAAGCUUAUCAAACAAUCAUCUGAUCAUGUAAAGCUUAAGGGAUUCAAUUUCACUCAAGAUCACACAAAGGAGUACAUACAACAUUAAUUAAUUGCAGGAUCUUCACCCUCGAGCAGUGAACAAGUAAAAAAACUAUCAUCCCCAACAUGUUUCCAUUCCGUGUAGAAGCUAAUUAAGCAGCGAAGUACCAUCCCCAACCCCUCCAUUAAUCUUACAAGGUACUGAGGUGUAAUCACUGAGAACCUGCUGAUCCUUCCAUCUCAUUUUGCUUUGCUUUGUGUAGACCAACGAUCCAAGACCAGCAGCACUAGUGGAUGAACAAUCGUAGUAGCUAGUUUCUUUAUGUGAUGAUAAAAAGACCGUCUAGACUAGCCGUGGUAGUAUUACAUUACAGACGUAUUACAGGGAGAAUCAAAGAAGAGAAGAUUUCUGGUCAGACCUCGAAGUGCUCCAUCUGCACGUCGGAGGCCUUGAGCGGGACGUAGUCGCCGAGGUAGACCUCGAGGUGGUCGGAGAUGUUGCUCUUGUCGAUGCUCUCAUGGUGGUAGCUCUUGCAGACAAGGUACACCACCGUCUGCACCACCAGUGCGACCAUGACGACGGCGCAGAGCAGGGCCAGCAACGCGAGGCCCAGGAGCAGCCUGGCGCCGGCGCCGAUGCCGUGGCGCGCGCCCUGCACGACCCACGCCCUGAACGCUAGCUCGACGACGAUGAAGACGAGGUUGAGCGUGAAGAAGAUGGCGGAGGCGGUGCGGAGCUUCCCUUUGAUGAGGUCCUUGCUCUUGCGCAUGGCGUGGAAUCCCUUGUAGUCCUCGAGCACGGAGACGACGCUGGCGAGGUGCCAGAUGACGCCGAGGUAGACGAGCCCGGCGACGUAUGCGGCGAGGAUGGGGAAGAAGACGACCGCGGCGAGGCCGGAGCCGUUCUCGGUGGCGACGAGCAGCGCGAGGAAGACGGCGACGGCGGCGAGGUUGUAUACGGCGAGCAGCGCGAAGGCGGCGAGGAAGGUGGCCGCGAGCCGGCGCCAGACCCUGGGCACGACGGAGAGCACCCUGGGGAACGUGAGAGCGUCGUACUUCGCGGAGUAGACGGAGGCGACGGAGAAGACGGCGGCGGCGGUGGAGAGGAGGGAGAGGAGGAGGAGAGCGAGGAGGUAUGCGGACUUGAAGAGGACGAGCGCCGACCAGUCGGCGGCGAGGCGGCGGAGGAUCCGGUCCUGCGAGGCGGUCCCCGGGGAGGAGGAGUCGAGCGCCGUGUCGUCGGAGUCGAUGGUGGUGAAGAGCGCGUGGGAGAUGGCGAUGUGGGCGAGGAAGAGGGCCGAGAGCGGGAGCACGAAGGCGGCGGCGAUGCGGCCGUAGAGCGGGCGGUGCGCGCGCAGGAUGGCCACGGACUCACGCGCGAUCCCCACGGCGCCCAGGAACUGCAGCUCCUCCGGCUCGCACUCCAUGGGUUCCCGCGCCGCCGGUGAGGUGCUGGAGAUCUGGGGUUGAGCUAGGGAUUUGGACGGAGGGUGGGGAGCUCGUGAUUUGGGGAUUUUUUUUUGGUUCGGGGGAUUGGGGAAGAAGGAAGAAAGCUAAAGCUCAGCUAAGCUCGGGUUUGUUUGAUCGGGUCAAAGUCCGACCGGUCGCUUCCAGAAGCCGACCGACGAACCCGAUGACGCGUCUUCCUUUGCUUCCGCGAAAUGGCCGGCGUUGACCGUGGGCCAGGUUUCUGUUACACGGGCCGUCUCAGGGCAUGGAUGGGGGUAUUCCAUGCUCAGUGAAUGUCAUUCGGCCCUUACUGUAUCAGCUAUAAGCUAUAUAGGCCACCUUGGGCUCUGGAAGUUACUUUCUGUGUUUAUUGACUGGGGGCUAUCAGCCCAAACCAGAAUAAAUCAAAGCCUACUACUACUACUACUACUAGGCAAUUACAUGGGCCAAACGGAACUACUUUCUAUGCCAAUGUAACAACCUUGUCGUGCUUCUAAAAGAAAAACUUCUUGUACUACCUAAAACCGAAAUGUAAGGUUAAUGUUAUACGAGUCAUUUUAUUGUCGGCUCAAUGGUGAAGACUUGCUAAAGAGUCACAGUGUCAAAAAAAUAAAAUGACAUAUCAAUUCGCUUGUGGAUCGGAGUGGCAUGUUUGUUUCACUUGAGUCCAAAAAAACUCAGCAAGGAUUUCAAAGGUAGUAGUUCGGCCGUCCAAAAAAAAUAAGAAAAAUCCUAUGACUUAAAAAAGUUCAAAAAUAUAAAAACUGGUAGGAUUGAGAUCAGGCGACGUACGAUUUAUACGUUACAUCACCGGAGCCACUUCCAAACCACUACUCGGCCACCUAAAAAUCCAUAUUUCAUAAGACAAAAAUCUUACCAGCAAAGCUAACUUUUAAAUUAACAGGGGGAAGACGGUGACCUGCCCACUAUGGCAGUGUGCCAUUGUGCUUCUACACAUCGAUGAAUGGACACGAACACGACGCACGUCCACGUCAUCACUCAUCUACUCAUUAAUCAGUUUAAAAUUGAAUUCGCAAGUUUAACUCACAGAUUUCAAAUUCAAAAUUGAAUUUGCAAAUUUAACUCACAGAUUUCAAAUUGAAACCCAGAGACUAUAGUACUACUACUCUAGAGCUCACGUGGGCGAGAAGAAGAAGAGGAGAGCCCCCCCCCCCCCCCCCCGCGCCCGCGCCGGAAGGAAACCUAUAAAAAAAUCGCGUCUUUUUCUUCCGCCUCGAUCGGCAUCUCCUCCCUCCGCCGCGCGCGUGACGCGAGGAGAGGAUCCAUUAAUUCAGCCGGACAGCCAUGGCGCACGCCGCCCCCGUGUGCGCGCGGCUGCCCCCAUGGCGCGUCCUCCUCCUCCUCCUCGCCCUGCUCGCCUUCUCCUGCUUCGCCCUCACGCGCUUCCCCGCCGCCGGGGCCCCGCUCGCCGCCCUCAUCGCCGCCUCUUCUCCGGCCGCCGGCGGAAGCGGCAGGGAGAGCUGCGCCGGGUUCUACCGCGGCGAGGGCGCGGGCGGGAGGCGAGCGGCGUCGGCGUCGGUGGAGGAGUUCGGGGCCGUGGGCGACGGGGUCACGUCCAACACGGCGGCGUUCCGGCGCGCCGUGGCGGCGCUCGAGCAGAGGGCCGCCGCGGCCGGCGGUGGGGCUAUGCUGGAGGUGCCUCCUGGGAGGUGGCUAACCGGCAGCUUCAACCUCACCAGCCGCUUCACGCUCUUCCUGCACCACGGCGCCGUCAUCCUCGGCUCCCAGGUACGUACAUGAUCCAUCGUCGAUCGUCCGCCAAUUCCUUUUCCUCUUCUUGUUCUGUUCCAUUUGAUUAAUUCCAAUCUACUUUUCUGCUGAUAUGGGAAAUUAUUGUUGAUUAGUUGGUGGGUGCGGACAAUUUUAUUUCACAACAAAAAAAUUGCACAAAGCUAAUUAAGCUUUCCUGUAGUGGAGAAAUUGGAGUUUCCGGUAUAUGUUCUUGUUUGGUUGGUUGGACGCUGAGAAAAUGUGCACAUAGCUGAGCUUUCCUGUAGUGCUGAAAGUUGGAAUUUUCUGUCCACGUUCUUGUUUGAUUGGACGCUGGCUCCGACGUUUGUGCUGUCACUUGACAGUGGCAAUUGAAAAAAAAGGAAAGUGGGAAGAGAUGCUGUGGUGGGUUUGGAAUCCUGCACACAUGCUUGGAUGGUUGUUGGUUUCUUCUUCCUUUUCUGACUUCUGCAGCUUGCCACAUGUUAUUGUUCGUUCUAACUAACUAAAUCACACUGUGUCAGAGCCUUUGCUUUGUCCUUACUUUUGCUUGGACUGGCCUGACUUGAUUCUACUACUAUACUGUACUUUGCUUGUAGUGCUGUCUCCUCUGCUCAUAUGCAGCUAGUUCUAAAAGGUUACAUAAACCUCUAAUUGUUUGGAGGUUUCUGCAGAAGCUAGUAAUACUAAUACCCACUUCUGGUGCAUGCAAAUGCAGUGGUCAAUUGGUCAUACUAAUAAUUUGAAGGAUUGCUACUAUGUGUGGAGAGUUUAUGGGAGAUGAAUUUGCUAAAAGGAAUCCCUCAUACAUAUAUAUUGUGGAUACUGUCUACUAGUACUUUUAUGUGAGGGGCGGCUUAGUACAAAGUUGCUGGGAAAGAAACCAUAAUUAAGAGCGUUAGCUAGGAGUUUGACAUUGUUGCCACAUGCACUUGCAAUGCAAUAAUCCACCGCCUUAUUAUUCUAGGACAAUCAUGGAGCUAGUCUUCAAGUCCAACAUGUUAACAGGGUGGAUAAUCUUCAAGGGGACCUAUCACCAGAUACGUUACCUAUCUUCAAGGGUGCAUCAAUCCCCAGAUUCGAGAUUUAAUAAUAUUCGUGUACUCGAAUUUAAGUAGAAGAAUCUCCAGUGUUGCAUAUGUUACUAUGCAGUACUUGUACAGGAUGAUUUAUGAACUGCAGAGUGUGUUUUUUACCGAAAAACUGCAGAGUGUUGACUGUGCUAUUGGACUGUGACUGUGAUGUGCAGGAUCCAGAAGAAUGGCCUCUCAUAGCGCCAUUGCCGUCCUACGGGCGCGGGAGGGAAAGAUUAGGGCCACGGCACAUUAGCCUAAUCCAUGGUGAAAACCUAGACGACGUUGUUAUCACAGGUACACAAACUGUUUUUAACAGUCUCCACUUUCAAGUUUUGGUCAGUAAAAUAAAAAAAAUAUUGCAUGCAAAUCAGAGAGCCAGUCGGUGGAUCAAUUUAAGCAUAAAUUCCAGUUUGACUGUACUUUUGAAUUGCUUGGCUUUGCGUGUCAGGUAGCAAUGGGACCAUAGAUGGCCAAGGCAGGAUGUGGUGGGAGCUAUGGUGGAACCGGACUUUGAACCACACCAGAGGUCAUCUUAUCGAGCUCGUGAACUCGACAAAUGUCAUGAUCUCCAAUGUCACUCUACGCAAUUCCCCGUUUUGGACGGUGCAUCCGGUCUACUGCAGGUAUCAGUUUUAUCAUGCUGAUACAUUGGGUUUAUACCACUUUUUUUUUUACCAAAUUGGAUUUAUACCACUUCAUUUCCUUGUAGAGAGCCAUUUUGAUUUAUUUUUUCUUAGUUGAAAACGAAUAUUUGGUGAUCACAGAAACGUGGUGAUAAAGGAUUUGACAAUACUAGCUCCCCUGAAUGCUCCCAACACCGAUGGCAUUGAUCCAGGUUUGUGCUCUUCAAUUGACAGCACUCUUCUCUCUCAGAUAUGCAAUUAAUUAACACUCCUGGAAAAAAAAUCUAGUUCUAAACAUGGCCCAUCACUGAUUUUCGUACUGCUUAAGAUGAUAUAAACAGUAGUCCUACAUGUUUUCCUUCCAAAGUACAAAAUUACAAUUUACAGUGGCUAUCUCUGUUCUUCAUACCUUACUACCCUCGUCCUAGAUGAUGAAUGAUGAUGACCCUUUUAUACUAAUUAACCACAGGCUGGCUUAAUUUUGCAAAGAUCUCAAACUAGUUUCUCUUGAUGAAACAAUUACAUGGCAGACUCAAGUUCAGACGUUUGCAUCGAGGACUGCUACAUCGAAAGCGGAGACGACCUGGUCGCCAUCAAGAGCGGGUGGGACCAGUACGGGAUAUCUGUGAACAAGCCCAGCACCAACAUCAUCAUCCAGCGUGUCUCCGGCACGACUCCGACGUGCUCAGGCGUCGGCAUCGGCAGCGAGAUGUCCGGCGGGGUAUCCGGGGUGCUCAUCCGGGACCUCCACGUGUGGAACUCGGCGUCGGCGGUCAGGAUCAAGACCGACGUCGGGCGCGGCGGGUUCGUCACCAAUGUCACCGUAGCCAACGUGACCAUGGAGAGAGUCAAGGUGCCGAUCAGGUUCAGCCGGGGCUCCGACGACCACUCUGAUGACAAGUAUGACAGAACGGCAUUGCCGACGAUCAGCGAUGUUCGGAUCGUCGACAUUGUUGGAGUCGACGUGCAGCGGGCCCCAAUUCUUGAGGCGGUGCAUGGUGCAGUUUACGAGGGAAUCUGCUUCAGGAAUGUGAGCCUGAGGCUGAGAGAAGAGGUCAGGAGGAGGCAUGCUGGGUGGCAGUGUGAGUCUGUGUAUGGGGAGGCUCAUGGGGUUUUCCCUGAGGCUUGUGAAGAGCUGAGGCACAAUGGAUCUUCUUCUUGGUGUGGCCUUUCAUGAGAGCUAUUGUACAUAACUUGUAGGGUUUUUCUUAUGAGCUGAGAUCGAGACGUGGGGUGCAUGUCUGUAUUUGUGCUAGAGAAGGAUAAGGGAUAGAGUUUACAGUGAGACUAAACAUUAGACAUGUCUUAUGGAGUGUAUGUAUUUUUGUGCCUAAAGAAAGAUAAUGGGGUAGAAUUUACAGUCCAGUCUCAACAUUUAGACAUGUAUUCUUCUGAGGGGUUUUCAGUCAUGCAGAGUAAAAGGAAAACGCUUCGCCUUUAUCUUUCCAACAAUGGAAAACCUGGUAGUCUAACCAUGCUGCUACAUUCCCUUUUUAUUUAAAGUUGUAUUAGUUUUAACCGAUGAAGGCAAUAUAGAUUUUCCGGAUCCAGAGAAACUUGAGGUCAAUGUUAUUUGACUUCUUCAUAUAGAAUUUUCCUUUUUAUUUCAAGUUUUAUUAUCUUUAGCGAUAAAGGCAAUCUGAAUUUUCCAGAUCGAAAAAUCAGCUUCUUCAUGUAGAAUACUCACCGUAUUUAUUACUAUAUUGCUUCAGGAGUAGCUAAAUUUAUUUCCCUAGAUGUCUUUAAUCAGGUUUAUAUGAGUGAUUUCUUAUCGUCUUCCCAGGCAGUUCCACCCAAAGGAAACAUUUCUCUACGGUUACAAGGUUUUCAUUUCAACGCCAUACACACGGUUUAACAGAGAACUACACGCAGAGGUUUCUCCUAUAGGGUCUCUAGCAUAAGCACCCACCCGUAUAAACAUGCUAAAAAGACCGAGGGAAAAACUAAACUACUUCAUUUCACAAUAUAGCUUACAUACGGUUUUCUCUUUCGGGAACCCCCGAAGGGUUCACAUAAAGAUAAAGAAAUUACCUUACUACUUUCCCAGUCUUAUGUUACAAAUGCCUUAAUUACACAAGCUUUAUUACAGUGGGAAGUGGUACUACUACUAGAGAACAGAUAGUUUUCUGGCUAGCUGCCCUGAACUACUUGCUGCUCUGAAGGCUUGUGUUGUGCUCGAUGAUUGUGUGUCCUCCAAUGCUGCAAAGAGCCUCCUUAUAUAGGCACCAUGGCUGGCUCAAAUAGUGCUCCCAUGCAUUAUUUACCUCACCUUUUUCCAUGUCCAUGAUGCACCUUCUUUAUAGCCUUUGGAUGCAUGCAUGCAUGGUGAUGAGGGUCUUUUGGCUGCCACUUCACUCUUUGGUUGCAUACGAACUCUCUCUCUCUAUAUAUUUAUAUAUAUGCAUAUCACUAUAUAUCUGUGAUUUGUGCACUUUUGGGGUCCCAUAUGCCUCAUCUGAUCUGCUACAGGAUGACCUUACCUUCGCGAGGAGAAAGUGAAUUAGCUAAAAAGUAAUGCGCUGCUCUUGAGAUCUAAAGUAAUUAGUGAAAAGUAUUCAAGUUGUUAAAGGAUCAUAGAGUGUGUGGUUUUCAUUCCUCUCCCAUGGGUUAAGAACUCUUUUCUUAUUCAUUGCUCUCUCAUCAAUGGUCCCACGUACAACUACACUGAUCAACCUACUGACAAAAGAUCCGUAAACGAAUUAACAUCAGCUAGGAAUAGCGGUCAAUUUGAAAGAGUAAAUGCACAUGUACCCUGCAGCGAGCUAGAAAGCCAUCUCACCAGAGCAGAACUGGUUCCCGGAUGGGUCGAUUGGUAAGUACUUUUUCAAGAACGAGGUCUUCACCCAGAUAUUGCCACAUAAGAAGACUUCUCCGCCUGUAUCAGAUUGUGCAGGAGAGUAAUGACGGUGGAUUUGAGGAACCACGACGAGCGGCAGCCCCGCUGCCGCCGUUUCCUUCCUUGGUGGUCACCUUUGCUUGCACGUUCAUGUAAAUCUGCAAAAACAGCCACCAAAUUCCCCAAUUCGAACCAAACUGUAAGACAAUGACAUAUUCUUUCCUUCCACAAUACCACACAGGAAUUCAGAGAAUCGCCAACCUGGAGGAACGAUUCCAACUCAAUCUCGCCGCCAUGGAAAUCCGAGAGAACGGGGACAGUGCGCCAUGCUGGACGAGAGGAGGCCACGUGCCGUUGCCUCGCGACGGUGGAGAUCCAUGGCGCCGCGCGUCGGGGGUCCAGCGUGCUGCUUGCUCCCGCGCCGUCGUUGGCGGACCCGCUGCUCCCGUGCCGUUGGAGGAAGGAGAGGGGGUGCGGAAGAAGAGAGGAGGAAGGAGAGGGGGCACGUGCGCCCGGCUCGAUCUGUCCGGAGGACUCGGCGCCGACGAAGGGAGGAAGGAGAUGGGGCGCGGAGGAAGAGAGGAGGAAGGAUAGGGGUGUGAGGAGGAAGGAGACGUUUGCACGCGGCGACGAUGGGAGUGACGACGCGAAGUUGGUUGGUUGUGACGGCUGGGCGGAGCCGCGGAGGGGAGAGGAGGAGGCGGGGUUUUUAUUGCGUACGGUGUCAAGGCAAAGCGGAGGGCGUUUUUUUUUCUCGGGUGGGGGCGGACCACAGACGCGGAGGCAGGUUUGACAGGAGACGAAAACGUGUAUGAAACGAACGGUCCGUAUUUUUUAAUAGUUAUUAUAGGUAUAGAUUUUACUCCCUCCGUCGGAGUACCGGGCAAACAGAAAACCUAGCACAGCCAGCACGUUCCAUUUUGGCCUUAUAUCGUAUCAGACACAAACUCUGGGCCUUAUACUGGCCCAAAAUCCGGCAACGGCCCAAACAAACAAAGGGCGGUCCAGGAGAAGAAGACGAGGCGAGCACGAACAAACGCUGCGACCUCUUCUCCCACCCCAAACGAGCAGAGAUGGCGGCGGCGGUCGGCGGCGCGGGCAAUGGAGCCGGCGAGGAGGCCGGCGGCGCGGAGUUCUACCUGCGCUACUACGUGGGGCACAAGGGCAAGUUCGGGCACGAGUUCCUCGAGUUCGAGUUCCGCCCCGACGGCAAGCUCCGCUACGCCAACAACUCCAACUACAAGAACGACACCAUGAUCCGCAAGGAGGUCUUCGUCUCCCCCUCCGUCCUCCGCGAGGCCAGGAGGAUCAUACAGGACUCUGAGGUCUUCAAUUCCUCUUCUUCCCAUAAUUAUUUUAUCUGUUGCGAGCGGAAACCUAGGGUUAGGGUUGGGUGCUGAAUCCUCUGCUUGGAUUGGUUUUGCCUGCAGAUCAUGAGGGAGGACGACAACAACUGGCCGGAGCCCGACCGGGUGGGCAGGCAGGAGCUCGAGAUUGUCAUGGGCAACGAGCACAUCUCCUUCACCACCUCCAAGAUCGGCUCCCUUGUUGACGUCCAGACCAGCAAGGACCCCGAGGGCCUCCGCAUCUUCUACUACCUCGUCCAGGUAAUUCCAUCCUAAUCCACCAUAUUUAUUCAUUCAUUGCUUGCUUUGUGCAUGGGGUGUGCUAUUACGCGCUAAUUGAUGGGUUGCCCAAAUUAUACAAUUGGAUAGAUAUGCGCUCUGGCUGGUACUUGCUAAACUAAGCAAAGCGCAAUUGCUGUAUGAUAUCAAUGGUAUUGUUUGGUUCAUGUUUGUUCGCCAGGGAGAGGUUCUGCUGGCUCCUUUGUAAGCUUGCUGAUAGAAGCACAUAGCUUAACUGUACAGUGGAAGUACAUUGCUUAAGUGUACAUAGCUCAUAUUUUUGACAUACUUCCUGCAGUUAUAAUAUCGCUUCUAUUCCAAGGGUAUUAAUUAAAAUUUGAUACAAACUCGGAAGCCCGUUUAUGGAUUCACCAUCAAUUUGUACUGCUGCUGAACAGCCCUUGUGCUGAACUCAUGCAUGGUAUACUGAGAUAUAUACUUAAUAAUCAAGAUAUAAUUGGCUUCGAGAACAUUGUGAUAAGUUUAUCUGUUUUAUUUUUCAUAGUAAUAUGUUAUGUGUAAGCUCUGGGUGGAGUGUAGCCAUGUCUUCAUUGGCGUUAUAUCUAAUUCAAGGUCAUUGAUUUUGAGAUAAAUGACUAGUCAAUUUUGAGCUUAGUUGUCAAAUUGUCUUCUUUUUAUUCAUAUUUUGCACCAUCAUGUCAGUUGCCAAAAGGGGGAAUCAAUUUCUUAUUAGCUUCUGAGCACCAGUUAUUAUAAGAAACUAGCGUGCCUGCUAUCUAAAGGAAGCAGAGCCACAAUCUACCUUUUGGUGUGUAGUGUCAACAAGCCAACAAGCUGAAAACUUAAGACACAAAAUGUCAGAAAAUACAACCUUAGAAUUUGUCAGUUUGACAUCUGUCAACAUCCUUUCUAUUCCUGAGUAUAUCCUCGGCUCUGGAUUGGCCAGUAAGCACCUGUAGGGAAGAUGUAAUAAAAGAAAUGAUAGAGGCUCAAAGAAAAGAAGUAGCGGACAAGAAAGGAAACAAGAGGAACUAUUCCCCAAAUUAGCAGGAUAUUUCUCGGCAGCCAUACAACUGAGCAGUCUGUAAUACUUUCAGAUAAGGUUUCAGCUUUGGAUGGCCAUAUACUUUUGUAUGCUGUAACACUAAGAGUUGUCAGGACUCUUACUGGAUGGCCUUAUACUUUUUUUUGUCUAAAUUAGCAUUUAGCACCUAAGGAAUACCAGGUCGAGUCAGAGACAACACACUGAUUAUAAUAUCCACCCCCUAUGUUGCACUGUAUAAAUAGCAAAAAAAAUGCUGUCUUGUUUCUAUGCAUGUGAUUUUAAAUUUUUGCAAGUAGAAGAACUGGAUCAGCACACUUUGCUUAAAAUUAAAAGCCCAGCUGUUUUGCCAAACAUAAGUGGUACAAUUUAGCUUUUAUGGUUGUCUGGUGACUUUGUUAAUUAGCAUCAGCACAUUCUGAAUUUAUUUCCCAUCAUCUCUACCUUGAAUCUUGCGAACUAUAUGCACGCAGUGUGGAAGGCAGAUUAAGAUGUUGUAAUAACACCAAGAGCCCUCUUAAAACCACCAAUUUCUUAGUAUUCCUAUUACCUAACAUGACAGACUAUUCCAGAUGUCAUCAGAAAUUUACUAUGUUGCUGUUCAUUAGUAUAAUAGAUGGAUGGAUCAGGGUUCAUUAGAAAUUCUGCAAGUUUUUGUCCUAAAGUUGACACCCUAUGAUAGGCUUAAUUGAGUUUAUGAUUGUCUAAAUGUUAUCUGUUUCUUGCAUGUUUCAUUACUAUUUUGGGGAUACUGUUGUUGUUUAGUAAAGAACCACUAGGUGUUGUUGUGUCUCACUGUCUCACUCUCAAGUUGACAGUAAGAUAUCAGCUGUAAAAAACAAGGAACCUUUAAGGGCACGUAAGUGGGAAAGUCUAACAUAGUAAGGCCUCUAUUUUGCCCCACUUCUAACGGCACUGAUUAUUUGUCUCUUCUACUUAAAGAAUUUGACCAAGAUAAUCUACCAUAGAUUUGUCAUUCAUCCUCAGUCUGCUGCUGCAUUUGCUUAGUGGACAAAUAAUGACAUGGACGUCUAAUGAUCUUCGUUUUGCCUCAGUUCUGACGGCAUUGUUUAUUUGAUUCUUGUGCUUAAAGAAUUUGACCAAACUCAUCUACCAUAGAUUUGUUAUUUCAUCCUCGGUCCUCUGUUAGGUUUGCUUAGUGGAUAAAUGCGAUGGACUACCAUUAAUAAACUCUUGACUACAUUUAAAAGAACUGUUAGUGGCAUGCACAUUCUAGUUAAAGUUUAAAGUGGGUGCACAAAAGCACGUGAUAAGCUGCUUGUGUUAACCCCACACCAAGAUUAUUGACUAAUUGAUUUAAUCUCUUCUCAGGAUAACUAGUAUUUUUUGUUAAGCACAGUACUGUGGAGUUGUAACUGGAAACUAUUCCUAACCUGUAUUAAUGUUUUUGUUUGCAGGACCUGAAGUGUUUUGUGUUUUCACUUAUCAACCUCCACUUUAAGAUCAAGCCUAUUCAAUCCUGAGCUUCUUUCUGUCUCCCAAUUGUGUUAUGGUACUGUUGAGUGUUAGAGAAUUCUGUAUUAUGUAACUUGCAACGAGUCGCUAGUGAUGCAGUUUGGGAUGUGUGUAGAACACCGGGGUGAUAUCUUGGCAUCACCAAAAGUUGUUGGAUUGUGCAAACUGCGAGUGCCCGUUACUCUAGUAGUGAUAUUUAUGAAUGUUUCUUUCCCACUGUCAUGUUCUUUUUAAAAAUAUCAGUGCAGCAUUACUUCCUACCACCUUUCUGGUUCAUGCUGAGCCUACUGCUGCCUUAUUGACAGUGCCCAUCACUAGUUUAUUGAUCCAUCAAGGCAACAUACAGAUCUCUUUGCCACUUCUGGUGCAAAUCAACAGGCUUCCAACUGUUUGGAGGACUGUACUUCCAAGUUUUUUACUGCUCCAGCAUCAGAGAUAAUCUUUGAUUCUCCACAAAUUCUUUCAUGGUUUGUGCCAGCAAAACUGACUGAUAAAAAGAGGCCACAGCCCACGAGGUACGAAUGGAAGGAACCUUUCGUUUUUUGCAAAGCAGAAUAGUGUGAUUAAAGGCUCCAUCGGUCCUAUGUAGCUAUCUUUAGCCUGUGAUUAAAGGCUCCAUCUUUAGCGUGAUUAGUGGCAUCUCAGAAGCACUGUUUGGUACACCGUACACCCUUCUUUUGGCUUUUGCUACAGCAGAGCUUUGCAUUACAUGGAGAGUUUACUUUCUUUUCAUGUAAAGAGGAUUUAUAGUGCAAAAGGAGUUGAUGUCCUGUGUCAUGCAGAUAUCUUCAUUCCCCUCUUGGAAGCAGUAAAACAUCUCUAGCAGUGGGCAACUUGUUGAAAGGGAAAUGCAAAAUCAUAGUAGUAGCUGGAAAAUUCAAGAGAUGAUUACGAAGCAGGAGGAGAAAUGAAAUAAUGCAAUGAACAGCACAAGGUGAUGGAAACAAACCUGCUUCAGGUGUACCCUGACCCUGUACAGAGGGAAACUAGCUAAUCUGCUUUUCGGUUUUAUCCCCACUAGUAGUCUAGUACUACUCCUAAAUGAUAAGAUCAGGAUGAGCAUGUUACUUCACUCAACACUGUGGCCUUUCCUUUCUUUCAAAAUCCAAAAUGGUCCAGACAGACAAGAUUCAUCAUCUCUGUGGCCCAAACCAAAUUUUAACGAAACAUCUCUUUCAUGUUGGUGCUACAUUGUCUUUUACUCUUUACCAAACGUCUUUACUGCUAGUAAAUUUCUACUUGCCAUUUUUAGCCAAAAGCACUUGGUUUUAUCUGUCAGUGUAUAUUGGCAGUGCAAUUGCCUGAUAACUGGGCAGGGUUUAGGGGAUUUCUUAUAGGACAAAAGAAUAGGUGCAGUUUGAUUUCUCCUAUGAUCCCUAUUUAACUACUGUAGUUAAAUAAACAUCCUGCCUGAUUCGAAAGCAUGAUGAUCAUUAGUUCGAAGGUGAUAUGUUCGGAAGUUUAACAUAUGUUCGAAGAUUUCUCCUAUGAUCCCUACUGCACCUAUACGUUCGAAGGUUUAAUAUAUGAACGCCCAAUCAUCUUCGUCUUCGCCGGUCUUUGCACAUAAGUUUGGCCCAACACUUUAUUAAGGUAUCUUUGGUUACGGUGGGAGCAGAGUAGAUAUGAACUUCAUAUACUGAAACGGAAGUAGCAGUAGUAGUAUCAUCAUCUUUGAGUGAGUGGAUGCAGUAAUAAAACUCCUUGGACUCGCAGUUCAACAAAUAUCAUCUUGAAUAUUACUAGCAGUAUUUAUACUAAGUUACACUGGAUUUGUUUCACAAAGAAAAGAAAAAAAAGUUACACUGGAUUUAAUUAGACAGCUGUAGUAAACGACGUAGCACGUGUCAUUACACGUGCGCUACACUAGUUACGUACAUCUGUAGAUACGUGUAUACAUGAUCGAAUACGUAUUUCGGUAGGUUCCCUGAAUACGUCUUCAAGACGUGAGAAGCAGAGAGCUCUGGUGCAGUAAUUCAGUUGGUGGUGUUGAGGAGGGCGAUGAUAUCGAGCGCGACGGAGCAGAGCUGCCCGAGCGCCGCCUCCCUGGUCGCCAGCUCCGCCGGGAACGUCGCCACCGGCGCCGGCGCCGGAGAAGACGACGACGACUGCCGCCGCUGCGCCCGGAAGAAGAGCGCCCGGCAGACCCUGGGGUACUCGGCGGCGGCGCUGACGUGCACGGCGGCGUAGUCAUAGUCCCGCUCCUCGAUGGACCCCCUCGCCGCCGCCAGCGCGUCCCUCGCCUCGCCGUACUUGCCCGCGCACGUCCGCAUCACCAUGGCCGCCGCCUGGGCAUCUCCCCCGGCGGCGCCGCCCUGCGCGGUUCCCGUGGUGUCGUUGGCGCCGACCCCGAGCGCGGCGGCGGAGGCGGAGGCGUUGGAUGCGGCGGCGGCGACGGCGAUGGCGGAGAGGCCCCGGAGGUCGGCGGUGGCGCUGCUGGGGUCGGCGGCCAGGGCGGACACGCAGAGGGAAGGGUACGUCGUCGAGUUGCAGGUCGCCCGGACUAGAGCUGCCGCCGCGGAUGGCGGCGCCAUGAUUGGGAUUGGGAGCACUGAUGGCGGAGCUGGCGAGAUUGGGGAUGGUCGUGGUGGUGGCGAGUGCUUGGUGGUGUGGCUGCCACCAUGGCUCCCGUGGUGGGAGGCCAUGGUGGUGCUGGGCGCGAGGAGGAAGACGACGACGAGCACGAGCUGGGUGGCGGCGUUCAUGAUCGCCAUUAAUUAAUCUAGUGGAUAAAUAUGGAUUACAGACUAUCAGUUUGCUGCUAGCUGUACGUGAGAUGGCUACUUGGUCUAGUGAGUGAGGACACUGAGGAGAGUGAUGAGCUUAGCUUGAUUAGCGAGCUCGAGCUUGAUGGGUUGUUUGGUGAUGGGAGAAGGGAAGGGAUGCGAUGGGGUUUUAUAGGAGGAGGAGGAGGAGGGGGGAUCAUGGAAGCUUAGCUGAUGGUUCCUUGAGGAGUGUAUAGUGUAGUCUGGGUCUGGUCAAGUCCAUAUAUGCGUAUAUGCACGUGGACUGUGGUUGCAUGCCAAAAUUGACUCCUAAUUAUCUUCUGCCUAAUUUAAUUGCACAAGUGGAGCUAGGCCAGGCAGCAGAAGUCCACGAUGCCAUAUGUGCUUUCGAUCUUUACUUCCUCGUAUGAUUUGCAAAUUGAAACGGCUUAUUUUCGUCACUGUAAAUUUUCGUGUUUUUCUCGUACGUUAUAUGUUUUUUCUCCCUUGCUAUUUUUGGAUCGUGUAGUGCGCGUGACCAUCUUUUAAAACAGGAUUAAUUGCACAAAUAAACGGACAAAGGUGGAGCCGACAUGCAAAAAAAAAUAUGAGUUGCCAGAGAUAAACGCGUACGUAGUCACAUCAGAGUUUGGAUUAUCGUUCAGGUGGUGGGUAUACUAUGUGGCAUUCGCGAUCGAGGUCACUAUUCAUGGCUUUAUCGACAAUUUAAAAUCGGAGGGAGAGUAUUAUAUAUAAUUACUUUGUCCUCGCCAACCUCCAAUGUUGCUCUUUGCCCCUAGCUGCUAUAGCAAAAUCCUGACUCCUCCUCCCUUGUUCAUAUAUAGCUCUCAUAUAUUUAUGUUGUAUAUGACAUGUGUGCAUUCGUCGUCGCUAGUGUAAGUGCACGUGUCAAUCUAUUGUACUCGACUACUCGGUGCUUGACCAAUGAUAACUCUGUUAAUAUGUGUUUUUACAUACAUGAAAUUUAUAUCGAUAGAUUCGUUCUUAAAAGUUCUUUCUAAUAAUCAUGAUUUUAUAUCAUAUACGUUACAUAUUAAUAGAGUAAUUUUUUAUCAAAGUCUUGUCUUAACGAAACAAAAUACGCCAAACUUUGUGAAAAAGAGGGAGUAAAUAAAUGGAAGUGCUUUAAAAACACACGAAUUAGUUGGUUGAAUUCGUCUCCGUGUUUCUCGUGUGGAUCGAACGCACACCCUCCUAGCUUAGCUACUAAUCUUAGCUUGGGUAGCACGUUAUAGGAAUUAAUUAACAAUGUCAGUGCGCUAUAUACACUCCAUGACGUAUAUUCAGUUUCAAGUUUUGGUAUACACAUUCAUGAAUAUCUGAUACGAGUGCGUGUGUGGUAGCAAAUUAAUCAAGCUAGCUCAGUGGGCUGAGAACUACUUUUGUUAAUUAGCUAAACGUGUUGACGACGGGUCGACAUUGCAUAGUGACUUGGUGAGUCAUGGGGCCAAGUAGGACGUGUUUGACUAUUGCAGUACUGCUGCUGUGCGCAUAUACGACGAGAAAUUACUAGGAACAAGAAGAAGGAAGUUGGCAGAAUCCGGCAGGGUUCCUCUAACUGCGACAAGGCCGGAGUGUCUAUCAUAUCAAGCUGGCCGUGUCAAUAGUCAAGGAGCUAUAUGAGUAGACAGUACACGCAAUGCACGUUCCACAUGAAAUAUCUCAUAUUUCCCCCUCUCUCUCGAACCUGCAUGCAUUCUGCUAUUGUCAGUGUUUAAAGUUUCGGAUCGAUGACUGCUUGCUGCUCCCUCCGAUUCUAAAUUGUUGUCGAAAUAUUUCAUGUAUGUAGACUUUUUUAAAAAUAGAUAUACAUCCAUAUUUUAGCAAAUUUGAAUCAGAAGUUAAUUAAGCUAGGCUUGCAGUUAACUAACUCAACUAGCUAAAAUCGACACGUACUCUACGCGUACACACACUUGUAAGAUUCUAGAGUAGAUGGUUAAUUAGAUUCACGUUCCAGUACGUUCGAUCGAGUACACGUUGAGUAUCUAGCUACUUUUGGACAGCCGCCGCUACUCGAUUUCGGUUCAUAAUCCACGGUGUACGUGCUGACAUAUACUGAUCGGGAAUUCUCCGUACGUAUCUGGUGGCUUCUGGACACAUUAGCCGCUCUACCUACCCACUUAUGUACUCUCUCCAUUCUAAAAUGUAAAAAGCAAAUAUUUUCUGUUAACUGUGAAAUUUUCUAAAGUUUGAUCAAUCUUUUGAUUAACAAAACAUAUGUAAGACGCAGAUGAUUAAAUUCAUUGUGAAAUAUAUUAUCAUAAUAUCUUAGUUUGAUACUGUAUACUUUGAUAGUACUAUUUUCAUAGUAUAUCAGUCUUACUUAUCGAAACUUGCGUGCAGCUAGCAGGUUGAUUAGAGGUGGCAUCCUUUCUCUCUCUCUGGAAAUGCAAGUUUGUACGUAUAUAAUGACUAAAGUACUAAAGUAUACAGAUACUUCAGGUAUUUAUCCAUAAAUUUGUCAAACUAAAGUACUACAGAUACAUAGCGAAAUCUGCACUAAUUCCUAGCUAGUAGCUAGGUUAAUUAAUUGCCAUUGCAAAAUUUGAUUUGGAUUUGAUAGUGCUCUCUUCUUUUUUCAGGUGGGCUAUGA
This 59195-nucleotide long non-coding RNA is filed under the name Brachypodium distachyon (stiff brome). Its description in RNAcentral is "long non-coding RNA (BDIS_LNC003038)". The stretch from base 24539 to 24611 matches the Rfam family "tRNA". The record is from RNAcentral. Lineage: Eukaryota; Viridiplantae; Streptophyta; Magnoliopsida; Poales; Poaceae.